AUGGGGGCACACCUGGGAAGGGGGGUACAGGAAGGAAAGGGAAUGGUGGAAGAGGAAAUGGGAAGUCUGGCGGUGGAGACGGGGGCGAUGGUGGAGGAGCUAGUCCUGGAACCGGCGGCAAGGAUGGUGCUGCAGGUUCUGGAGGAGGCUGCAAUGGGUCUGGAACUAGUGGAGCUGGUGGAGGCUGCAAUGGGUUUGGAACUAGUGGAGCUGGUGGCGGCUGAAAUGGGUUAGGAGGGAGCACUGGGGGUGGCAGAAGUGGGUUUGGAGGAAGAAUGGGCGGCGGCAGAAGUGGGUUUGGAGGAAGAAUGGGCGGCGGAAGAAGCUGGUUGGGAUGAACACUUGGUUUUUGGCUGCAUAAGGUUGGUUGUUUGAAUGGCUUGAAGGUGAAAAACCCAGCUGAGAAAACAUGGGUUCCUUGCUUCCUUGACUUGAGAUGGAGUGAAGAGGAAGUAGCAGAUGAGGCCACUGCACAAUAUGGUUCACUGCUUUUAAUCAGUUUAACUUCACAUCCCUCGAUUUUCUUCACAUGUUUGCUCACAGAAAAAGGCAAAUGAACCUUGAAUUCCCCAUGCCUAUUGGUUUUCACUUGUUGCCUAAAGCUUGCCCUUGAGCUUUUCCCAUCUUUGCAUUCGACUGCAACAGUUGCACCUGCAGAAAAAAAAGAAAAACUUGUAUCAACUGAGAAAAGAGAAGAUGGAGUUUGGGAUUCAAUUUAAAACCUGAAAUGAAAUGGGUUGGCCUUGAGAAGUCAGACUGGAAACAUGUAUCACAGUAAACAGUUCCAACAACAACAGCAGAUUGCUGUUGCUGAUAUCCAUGGCUACCCUCUGAGUAACCAUUAAAAAUGAUGAAACAAAGCAGCCAUGUAAAGAAAAACCCAGGCAUUAUUUCAACCUCUGUUAUCCUUACUGGAACAGCUCUCCAUAAGGAUAUGUUGUUUAUAACUUUAUAUACUGUUGUUGUUUAACCUUUAUGUGGUUCAUGCAAAAACCAGCCAACUGCAUUAAGUUGAAGCCGUGAAUAUAGGUUUAUUUCCCACAAUCAAACAGCUCAAAAGGGUAAUUUGCAGAUGUGUGAAUUGAAAGCUCUCCUAGAACCAAAACAAAAGUAACAUUCCUUUUAACACAGUUGAUUUUGUUACGUUGUUGCAGUGGUAGUAGUAAAACUUUUUUUCAACUUUUUUGUAAUUUGGUCCCCCUUUUGGUUCACGAGACCUCUUAGAGUAGCCACAAUAUAAGUCCAUGUGUCUCUCCCCAAAUGCCAUUUCUGUCAACUUGAAAAGGACAUUGUGAUUUUGCUAUUCAAAUUCCAACAGAACCGCCAACAUGCUAUGCUGUUGUAGGCCGUGUAGCUCUUACUUUCAUAAUCUAUCUCGGUAAAUUAUAUCUAAAGUUAUCGAAUAUAGUUCACAACUUUGCGGUGCAAUCAGAGACAUCCUCGAGGAAUAGAAGGUAAAAACAUUACUUUGAGUUCAAUUUUCGAUGAGAUAAUCAUUAAUUCAUUUACGUACGAAACUAAGUUCUUGGAACUGGCCGACAAAGCGGUUAAAUCUUUUCGAUGAAUUAAACUCUUACAGAAGAAUAAAAAAUAUUGUACAAUAAUUAAACUUUAAGCUCUAUAAAUAAAUUAACUAAUGAGAAACAUAAAAUGAAGCUUUAACAGGAUUAGUUCUAUUGAUUAGAUUUUUCUUAAACGAGUCCACACCAUUUUUUUAAUAUGCACCAAAAUGACAUCUUCAGUCAAGAAAGAUGCACUAAAACAUCUCUUGUCUCUCUGUCUCCAUAUUACAUGCAAAUAUACGUUCCAAGUAAGCUUGAGUAUAGCAACAAACAAUGACUUUCUUUUAAAUUUUAAUAUCGCUCAAGUUAACUCUUAACUCCAAAUUUCCAUAAUCUUAUAAAUGGAGAUUCUCACACCUUUCUUAAAAAAUACACUAAAUCAAUAAAAUAUAAAAAUUUGAUUCAGGAAAAUUUAUAUAAAUACAAAAAUUAUAAAUUAAUGGAAGGGUGAUUGACAGUUUACUAUCCAAAAGAAUCCCUAUGUUGGUGGCUAUAAUUAUUUUACUUUUAAUAAGAGACAUUUUACUGUAUACUUGAUAAUAGACAUAUAAUAAAGACAAAUUCAAGUAACGUAUUUGAAGUUCACGGGUGUAAAGAAAGUUCGAGUGUUUUUAAAUAAAGGUUGUCAUUAUCUUGUUGGAUUUUUUCAUAUGGGCGGGAUAAAAAUCCAAUAUGCGUUCCACAUUCUCACCCUCACACUUAUAGGAAUUUAAGAAAAAAAAACUCAUUCAGUAAUUAAAUAUAUUAAAAAUUGAUUUAACCAAGCUUUUAAUUUAAUUGUACUGAUUUUCGGUUUAAUAACAUUAUUGCUUGACAUUGAUAUAUAAUAUGAUGUUAUGAGUUGAUAAGUUCAAUAAUCUUAAGCUAAACUUUAGCCAAGAUAUAUUAGAUUGAGAAAUUAAGCGCAAUUAUAUGCGAGUAUGUUAUGUGUAGCUAUCAUAUGCGUGUUUUAGUCUAGCUAAUAUAGUUUGUUAGUUUUAAUUUAAAGAUUAAUUUUUAGUCUAUUUGUGUUCUAAUAGUUUGAUUACUCAAAUAAUUCGUUUAUGUUGUAAUAAUUUAAUACUUGUGAUUAAUUAAACAUGAAUUUAUAUUGUAUUGCAUUCAUAAUAUUUUUAAAAGAAUCUCUUAGAAAAAGAAAUUAGGGUCUUUAUAGUUUUAGAAAAAUAGUUUUUCUUUUAGUUCUUCAUUUUCUUGGAAAAUAGAAAAUAUAUACAUAGAUAUUUUUUUAACAAUUUUAAAAUCUCAAAUCUAUUACCCUAGUUCAAGUUCAUAUAAAAGUAAUUUUAUUUUUAUUUUUAUUUUUUUCUCAUGUUUCUAUUAUAAUUAAGAGAAAUUAUUUAGUACACUACUAUUGGAGUUUUUAAACUCCACAAGCAUAGUUAAUAAGUUGACAAGUGUCCUAUAAAGAUAUAGUAAAAAGAUUAAAAAAUAAAUAUUUAAAAAAGAAAAAUAUGCUAAUUUUUUAAGGUUACUUAUAAAAUAAAAAAAAUGCUCACACUACAUGUUUUUCAAGUUUCAUUAUUGAAAACAAAUUUUUAUUUAUUGUUCAAUUUUCAACAAAAUUUUAAAAUGAAAAUUAUUUUUUAAAAAUGAAAAUAAAAAAUAUUUUUAGAUCAAACAAAAUCUAGACUUCUAUUAAUUUUUAUUUUUUAUUAUGCAAGUAUUUAAAAAAUUUUAAAUUUUAUGUAUUUCCUUUUAAUUUUUAACUUUUUAUAAUUUAUAAUUUAUAAUUAUUAAAUUGACAUAUAAAACAAAAUAAUACUAUAUCAAUAAUAAAAUAUAAGGAAGAAAUACCACACCGUCUACCAUGUAAGUCUAUUAAAAAAAUUAAUGAUUCAUUUAAAAAAAACAACGAUUUAAUUCAAAAUUAAAGGUUAAAUGUCAAAUUGCUCCAAAAAAAUUACAUCAUAUAUCAAUAUCGUAUUAUAUAUAUAUCUAUAUAUAACAAUGUACGUGGAUUAUUUUUGCUUUAGGUGGCAAUCUCUCAUUUUUUUUUCUUUUAAUUUCUAAUUUUUUAUUAGUAGAUAAGAUGGACUUUACAAUUUUAUUUUAAAACAUUUUUUUGAUGAUUUUAAAGUUAAUUAUCAAAGGAUUGUAAAAUUAAUGCUUUAGCCGUAUGAAAAAUGGUAACUUACUUUUAAUAUUUUAAAAUCAAUUAUAAUAUUUUUAUCUACUUUUUGAAUUUUAUUUUCUUUCAAAUCACUUUUAAAAUAUUCUAAAUUUAUGUUAAAAAAUUAAACAACUUCAAAAAAAUAUUAAAUUCGCAUUUAAUAUUUUUGUAAUUAAAACAUUAUACACAAAUUAACUAUUAUUAACUUUUUCCAAGAAGUAUUAAUUAUGAUCACAAAAAAUGUAAUUAGUUAAACGAAAUUAUAGAUGUUAAAUUCAAUAUAUAUAUUAAAAUUCUUUAUUUAUUUAAAAAUAUCAAAAUCUAAUAUUUAUGAAAAAUGGAUUUAAAAAUUUUCAAAAUCAAUUUAAAUACUAUUAAAAAUGAAAAAAAUUAAAAAUAGAAUUUAUAAACAAUUUAAAAAAAUAUGGUAACAAAUUUUAAAAUAACAAACAUUGUCACAUCCCAAAAAAAUGGGUUAGUAGAAUCAGAGUUUAUGAAACCGAGAGUAGUCACGGCCCGAUUUAUAAGGUUAUCAUUGUGCAUUUGUUAAAUAAGAAAGUUAUUGGUCUAAUGGUUAGGUGUUAGUACAUUUAUCCUUGAAAUCCAAGUUCAAAUUUCUUCCAUUGCAUUAGUUUUAUUUUGUACAAUUUUGCUCCAAACCCUAGCAAGUGUCAUGCCUUAUUUUAAGAAAAAAUGUUAUAAGAAUUUAAAUAAAAUUGAGUAUCUGGCCUAGUUGUUAAGUAAUAUAGCUAUCCCUAGAGAUCUUAGGUUUGAGCUUACUUUCUCCCAUUUUAUUAUUUCUGGCAAACUAGAGUAAAGUCACACCUCAAAAUAAAUAUAUACGAUUAAAAAAUAAAAUAAGCAAGAAAUAAUACAUAAACUAAAUGGUUGGGCAUAUCCUCCUUAAAAGAAAUAAUAUAUAUAUAUAGUACAAUCACUUCCUCUCAUAUUUUUUUUUGACAAAGGCUUGUUUAAAUGUCUGAAUUGGCUUGUUUAAAUGUCUGAAUUAAAUAAAAAAUGAGCAAUAGGCUUAAUGGUUAAAGCGCUAGAGCCUUUCCCACAAGACCCAACUUUGAGCCCUCUUUUUCUUUUUAAUUUCGUAAUUUUUUGGAAAAAAUGUCCUAAUAUAUAUAUACGAUUAAGUGCCUAAAAUAAGUAAGAAAUGAGCUAUAGGCUCAAUGGUUAAAUGUUAGUGUCCCUUCCUAAAGGUCCAAGGUUUGAAUCCCUCCCCUUUCAUUAUUUCUAAUUUUUCGGCAAACCCUUAAUUCUAACCUUAAUUACUGCCCUUUUGUUCCAAAUUUGGGUAAAUUGUAACCUCCCUAACUCAGCCUAGACGUUAGACCUGAAUUUGGGAGAUUACAUUAGCCACCGAGAUGGCUUAUCAUGGUUAUCGAAGUUUUUGAAAAUAGUCGUCUUUAAAACAUUUGUUUGAUUUAAUAGAAAACUUAGUUAAUUUCCAAAUAAUUUAUUACUUGAAAUCUUAAUUACAUUUUAGCAACAGAAAAGUGAUAACUAUUUGUUUUUCAUAAAAACUGGGGUUCAUGCAUAAUUAAUUAAUAAUCAUAAUUCGAAAGCUUAAAUUAAAUGUCAUGUAAAAUAAAGCAAACCUAAAACCUAAUUCCCAUGCCAUAGUUCAAAAUAAAGUAUUAUAGUCCUCGAAUAGUAAAAUAAAUUAAAAUAAUAAGCCUUAAUAAAUCGAAAAUAAAAUAGAUUGAGCCAAGACCCUCCGGAUGCCACGCCCGCGUCCUAACCUGGUGGGUUAUUUGUAAGGAUGAAAAUUUAAGGGGGAGUGAGUUAUGUCACUCAAUGUGAUUCCAUUUAUUAUGAAAUCAAUGCAAAUAGUUGGUAAGACACAUUAAAUAAUGUACCAUAAAAUAACCAUAAUCCGACAACAAUUCGAUAUAUAGGUUUUUCAAUGCAACCAUCACAAAUAAAUAGAAACUAUCAAUAAUGGUUUUCAGAAUAACCAAUUUUCAGAUUUUCCCACUAUAUACCUAUAUACACACAGAUAUAUAUAUCAUAACAAAAUUUCUAGAUUUCUUUGUUCAUGGUUUAUAAGAUGCCAUACAGUCUCAAUUUUUAACAAAUUAGAUCCUACCCCACCGCUACACACCACAAUGGGAGUUCGCUUGAACUCCCUUCUCCAACACACCGAGAUGUGGAUAAACCACAACUAGUUCGUAGAUAAUAACUAUUAUUUGGUUGUGAACACACAACAAGUCCCCACGGAUGAAAUCCGCCUUUGGCUGUGGAUUCACAGCAAAAAGUUCAGCAGAUGAAACUUGCUUUUGGUUGUAGAUUUUACAGCAUAAUCCACAGUUGGAAUUUUCCUUUGGCUGUGGAUACACAACAAUACCCGUAGAUGGAAUCUGCCUUUGGUCGUGAGUACAACAAAAUAGAUAAACUGCCAAACUUCCUCCAAUCACAUCGUUUCAACUCAUGCAAUUCAAUGUAACAUAUUUAAUAUAGGUCACAUAUGAUAGCAUUUAAUGUACUAACACAUGGAAAAUUAGUAGGAAAAAUCAUGUUUUUCAUGUAUUCGGAUUAAGAGUAACAUAGGGCAUGUCGUUCAUACGAUAGUAAAUGUAUAAAUACAAUAGUCAUGUAUGUUAUUCAUAAUUCAUGCAGUGAUAUAUAAAUAUGAUAUCAAUUUUACCCAGUAAGGCAUGUAUAAUAAUAUGUUUCAUAUUUUUAGGGACUUAAUUGUACAAAAGUAAACAUUAAAAUAGUUCAGAUUUCAAUCAGGGGCUAAUCUAAACAAAUCUUCAAAACUCAGGUUUUAAUCAGAAUUGGAAUGUUCUUAUCGAUUCUUGGCAACAUUAGAGAUGAAAUUUGAUGGCGUUACGCUAAACUGAUAAGAAGAGCGGUUGAACAAAGAUCAUUUUCAGAUUGCGGAUCAAAAUAAAAUUUUCAGCAAUAAAAGGAAAAUAUUUGCAAAGGAGAAGAUGAAAAAGAAAAGGGGAAGAAAUAAGAAAAAAAAAGUAAAAUUUUAGUUCAAUUAGAAAAGAGACUAAAGUUCUAUUUUGAUUUGGAGAAGAGAUUAAAUACCUAAGGUUUUUUUUUUAACUUGAGGGGAUGUUUAGGUAAUUAGCCCAUCUUGCCGAAACUAGAAAAGAUAAAUAGAAAUAAAGAAGUGUUUGGUGUGGCUCAACUUGGGAAAUAAGGGGGAGUAAAUGCUUAACCAUUUAGGCUACUACCUACUUUUGACAUGUUUUUACUCUAUUUAAAUAUAUUUUAGGGGGAUUUUCAUUCUAGUUUGCUGAAAAAUUAAAAUAAAGAAAUGGGAGAGGAGUGGAUUAAACCUGGGAUCUCUAAGGAGUGUGCUAAGAUUUUAACCAUUAAGACUAAGACUCAUUUCUUGGUUGAUUAUUACUUCUAACACUAUAUAUUUUGGGGUUUACAGUUCUCCCCUCCUUAUGUAAAUUUCAUUCUCGAAAUUUACCUAGUUCGAAUGGAUGAGGAUACUGUUGAUGGAAUGUGUCUUCUGGUUCCUAUAUAUCCUUUUCUGUGCUAUGGUUCUGCCACAAAUUCUUUUACAAGAGAGAUUCGUUUCCUUCUCAGAACAUUUACGUCACGAUCUAGAAUUUGAAUGGGUUCUUCCUCAAAGGACAAAUCCGGUCUCACAUUGAUCUUCUCAAUUGAAACAAUAUGGGAAGGAACAGAUCAGUACUAUUUUAACAUAUAGACAUGAAAAAUUUCGUGGAUUCAAUCCAGCUCAGGAGGUAAUUCUAAUUGAUAAGCAACUAGACCGAUUCUCUUAAGGAUUCAGUAGGGUCCUAUAAAUCUCAGAGUUAACUUACCCUUUCAACCGAACCAUAACACCUUUCGCCAUGGAGACACUUUCAGGAAGGCUUGAUCGCCGAUAUUGUAUUCAAUAUCCUACCUUUUCAAGUUUGCAUAUGAAUUCUAUCUACCAAAAGCCACUUUCAUUCUAUCCUGAAUCAACCUUAUUUUCCCCUCAAAUUCUUGUACCAACUCGGGACACAAAGUUUUUCUUUUACCUAGUUUGGUCCAACACAAAGUUGUUUGACAUUUACGUCCAUAUAGGGCUUCUUAAAGUGCCAUUUAGAUGUUCAAUUGGAAGCUAUUGUUGUAGACAAAUUCAGCUAAGGAUAAAUGUUCUUCCCAACUGUCUCAGAAUUCGAUAAUAUAGCCUCUUAACAUGUCUUCCAAUAUUUGGAUAACUCAUUCAGAUUGCUUGUCAGAUUGUUGAUAGAAGGCAGUGCUAAAAUCCAAAUGAGUACUUAACGACUCUUAUAACUUCUUCUAGAAUCGAGAUGUAAAUCGGGGAUCUCGAUCUGAAAUAAUCGAUAUGGGCACCUCAUGCAACCUCACAAUCUCCAAAAUGUAUAACUUAUCUAGCUUCUGUAAUGAAUAAUCUUUACGGACAAGUAAGAAGUGUGCUGAAUUUGUUAACCGGUCUACUAUUACCUAAAUUGAAUCUUUCUUAGUAGGUGUUAAGGGUAACCAACUAACAAAGUCCAUCGUUAUUCUUUCCCACUUCCACUACGGUAUUUUGAUGGAUUGAAGCAAUCUAGAAGAAAAUUAGUUUUCAGCUUUCACUUGCUAACAUGUUAGGCAUUUGGCCACAAAUUCAAUCACAUCUCGUUUCACGCAGGCCAUUAGUACAACUCCUUUACAUCCCGAUAUAUCUCAUUUCCUCUAGGAUGCAUGGUAUAAGAGCUAGCAUGUGCUUCCCGAAGUAUGCUUUGCCUUAAUUCAUUUUCAUUCGGCGCAUAAAACCUUCCUCAAAAGCACAAGAUGCCAUCAUCACUAAACCCAAAAUCUUCAGUUUUUCCUCCAUCCACUUGUUUAAUUCGAGGUAACAAGGAUAUCUAAAGGUUGUUUAGUUUUGAUUUCAUUUUCUAGAGUGGGUUUCACUUGUAGUCCAACUAACAAGCCCCCAUCAUUUAUUAAAUUCAACCUAGCAAACAUUACCCUUAAAUCAGUCAUCUAUUUUCUACUUAGGGAAUCUACUACAACAUUGGCUUUCCCGGGGUGGUAUUCAAUUACACAGUCAUAAUCUUUUAAUAGCUCUAACCACCUCUGUUGCCUAAGGUUCAAUUCUUUUUUGGUGAGAAGGUAUUUAAGACUCGUAUGAUCAGUAUAAAUGUUACACUUUUCCCCAUACAAGUAGUGUCUCUGAAUUUUUAGUGUAAAAACUACUACUACCAACUCUAAGUCAUGAGUCAAGUAGUUGCACUCAUGCUUCAAUUGCUUUCACGCAUAGGCAAAUACUUUACUACCUUACAUCAACACACAACCAAGGCCGAUAUGGGAUGCAUUAUUGUGCAUCAUAUAUUCUUUUCUCGAUUCGAGCUGAAUCAACACGGAAGCUUGGGUUAACACCGAGUUAAGCUUUUCAAAGCUAGAUUGUUGCUCAUCCAUCCACUUAAAUGGAAUAUCCUUUCUCAACAACUUGGUUAGGGGUGCGACUAUUAAGGAAAAGCCUUUAACAAAUCUACAGUAGAUCCCAGCCAAACCUAGAAAACUAUAGAUUUCAGAAACAUUUUUGGGUUGUUUCCAUUCAAUGAUCACUUCUAUCUUCUUUAGAUCUACUCGGACACCCUCUAUGAAUACCACAUGACCCAGAAUGAUAACCUCCUUAAGCCAGAAUUCGCAUUUACUUAACUUCGCUUACAACUUCUUCUCUUGGAGGAUUUGUAGAACCUUCCUAAGGUAUUCAUCAUGUUUGAGUUUGAUUUAGGAGUAAACUCAGAUAUCAUCAAUAAACACCAUAACAAACUGAUCAAAUAAGGGUUGGAACACUUGGUUCAUUAAGUCAAUAAAGGUGAUAAGAGUAUUGGUUAAACCGAAUGGCAUUAUAAGGAUUUUAUAGUGGCCUUAUCAGGUUUUAAAAGUAGUUUUGGGUACAUCUAUCUCCUUCACCUUGAGUUGAUAACACCCCAACCUUAGAUCUAUUUUGGAAAACACAGUUGCACCUCUAUAUUGGUUGAAUAGAUUGUCGAUCCUAGGUAAAGGAUAUUUAUUUUUGACAGUCAACUUGUUUAGCUACGGAUAAUCUAUGCAAAGCCUUAGGGAACCAUCUUUCUUUUUUAUGAAUAGGACUGGAGCUCCCUACGGAGAAACAUUGGGUCUAAUAAACUCGUGAUCCAAAAGUUCCUAAAGUUUGAUUUUGAACUCUUGUAACUCAUUUGGUGCAAUACAGUAUGGAGCAAUGGACACCGGAGUAGUUCCUAGCAACAAUUCAAUCCCGAAUUCCACCUCACGAUCUGGAGGUAAACCUGACAACUCCACAGGAAACAUAUUUGGGAAUUCCAUAACGGUUCAGAUGCUAUCUAUGGUGGUACUAUCGACAUUCCCAUCCAUCACAUAAGCUAGGUAUGCUUAACAGCCCUUACAAACUAACUUCUAAGCGAUUAUAGCAGAAAUUACAUUAGACAGAUAGUCCCAACGAUCCCCAACCAUAAAAAUUUCUCUCCCUUCGGUUGUUUUCAAUGUUACCCGAUUAGAGACACAAUCUAAGCUAACUUGGUGUUCUACUAACCAAUCCAUACCCAGAAUCAAAUCGAACUCCCCAAAAGGUAACUCUAUAAGAUCUGCGGGAAACACUACCCCUUGAACCUCCAACGAACAUCUCUUGUAGAUUUUAUUCACAAUAACAGAUUGUCCUAAGGGGAUUACUACAGUUAUAUCAGUAAUGGUUCCCUAUACCCCAACACCCAAGUUUUCAGACAUUUUACAAGAAACAUAAGAGUGGGUGGAUCCUAUAUCAAUUAGGGCAAAGUAUGAGAUGAAAUUAAUGGUAAAGAUACCUACCAUAACAUCAGACGCAUCUCUUUUCUCAUGUCCCCUAUCGGUAUAAAAAAGGGCAGGUGGUCUAGCCUUAGUUCAGUUUACACCGGUAGCAACAGUGUUCGCAACUCGAUUCUGCUCACAACCCCUCGGAGGUAACUGGCCCGCACUCUGAUUUUAGGCCUGAUUUUAGACUGGAGCUUGUGUCUGCCUGAUUCGUCAAAGAAAUUCCUUUUCCAUAUACUUCAUCAACCCAUAUUUAAACCCACAUUUAAAGCAAGCACCCAGUUUCUUCCAAAAAUUGCUCGAGUUUCACUACUCACAAUGCUUACAAGAAUUGGGCUAAUCCCUAGUGUUACUCACCACAACCCUUUGCUGCGAUCUACCCUCUCUAGUUUAUUUUGCAGUGCAAGGGUUUGAAUUAGCGGAACCAAAAUCUCUUUUAGAUGGGACCAUACUUUUCUCCCAUUGCUCAUGAUUUACAUGUUUGAUAUCUUCAACGAUUUUAGCUUUCCCCAUUAGGGUCUCAAACACCCAUUCUUGGUGUGGAGUAACUUGUAUCUUACGGUCAAAUCGUAACCCGUUUUCAAAUCAUACACAUUUGUCUUGCUCCGUGGCAACCAUAUCCUUACAAUAUCAGUUGAGCCUUAGGAAUUCAGCCUCAUAUUUUGCCACAGAUUUGUCUCGUUAUUUUAGCUCAAUGAACUCGAGCCUACGGGUUUCUACAUACCUCGUACCCACAUACUUCUUUUGGAAGGCCUCAUGGAAAUACUCUCAGGUGAUCUGCUCAGCCUAUGUACCCCUUAUCAUAGACUGCCACCAAUAAUAGGCCUCAUCCCUAAGUAAGGACAUUAUGCCCUUUAGUUUCUGCUUCGGACUAUAGUCUAAGUCCUCUAGAAUCCUUUCUGUCGACUCCAUCUAAUACUCAGCUAUACUGGGACUUGUACAAGCAAUACCUUUGAAUAUUUCCGCCCCAUUCGAUCAGAGUCUCUCUGUAAUAGAUUUGCGGCUCCCCAAUGCAAUUUGGGCUUCAGCAACCCUUUAUAACACUCUCAAGAUUUCCUAUGUCACAGCUUCAUCGUCAUUUUCAUAUCCUUUGCCACCAUUGGUGGUAAAGUUGUCAACAUACUCAUCCUCAAAAAUCGGGUUUUCACCUUGAAAGGUGGGCGGCUUUACAAGUGCAACCCUAUGCGACCUACCCUUACCACGUCUACCUUAAAUGUUCAUAGUGUUUCCAAAAAUUUAAGUUCUAAGGUAUAUCUACAGUUUCACACAAGAGUUCAAUCAUUAGUCUUUAUUCAUAAUAUAAAGUUUAUUGUAUAUCUAAAUUUUUAACAAUAGCUAAAGUAAGUCCAACACCGGAGUCUCGAAUUUUAAUUUCCUGAGGAAAAUCAAUUUUUAAAAUAUUUAUGACAUUAUUUUUUCCCAAAAUACCCCUUUGAUGCAUGCAUGGACGUUUAUUCAAAUUUUUAUGAUCCAAGUUUAGAAAACAUAGGCUUUGAUACCACCAAAUGUAACCUCUCUAACUAGGCCUAUACAUUAAACCCAAAUUCGAGAGAUUACAUCAGCCACCAGGAUAGCCUAGUAGGGUUAUCAGAGUUUUUGAAAACAAUUGUCUUUAAAAUAUUUGUUUGAUUUAAUAGAAAACUUAGUUAAUUUCCAAAUAAUUUAUUACUUGAAAUCUUAAUUACAUUUUAGUAGUGAAAAAGUGAACUAUUUGUUUUUAAUAAAAAUCGAGAUUCAUGCAUAAUUAAUUAAUAAACAUAAUUUGAAAACUCAAAUUAAAUGUCAUGUAAAAUAAAGCAAACCUAAAACCUAAUUUCCGUGCCACGGUUCAAAAUAAAGUAUUUUAGUCCUCGAAUAGUAAAAUAAAUUAAAAUAAUAAGCCUUAAUAAAUCAAAAAUAAAAUAGAUUGAGCUGAGACCCUCCGAAUGCCAUGUCCGCGUCCUCACCUAGUGGGUUAUCUAUAAGGAUGAAAAUUUACUAGGAAAUUAGUGCAAACAGUUGGUAAGACACAUUAAAUAAUGUACCAUAAAAUAAUCAUAAUCUGACAACAACUCAAUAUAUUAGUUUUUCAAUGCAACCAUCAUAAAUAAAUAGAAAUUAUCAAUAAUGGUUUUCAGAAUAACCAAUUUUCAUAAUUGCCCACAAUAUACAUAUAUAUACACACAUAUAUAUAUCAUAACAAAAUUUCUAGAUUUCUUUGGACAUGGUUUAUAAGAUGCCAUACAAUCUCAAUUUUUAGAAGACUAGAUCCUACCCCACCACUACAGACCACAAUGGGAGUUCCCCUUAACUCCCUUCUCCAACACACUGAGAUGUGGAUAAACCACUACUGGUUCAUAGAUAUAACUACUAUUUGGCUGUGAAGACACAACAAGUCCCUACGGAUAGAAUCCGCAUUUGGCUGUGGAUGUAUAGCAAAAAGUCCUACAGAUGAAACCUGCUUUUCACUGUAGAUUUUAUAGCAUAACCCUAGUUAGAAUCUGCCUUUGGUUGUGGAUACACAACAGUACUUCCAGAUGGAAUCUUCCUUUGGUUGUGGGUACACAACAAGAUAAAUAAACACAGAUAAACUGCCAGACUCCAAUCACAUUAUCUCAACCCAUGUAAUGCAAUAAGGUAUAUUUAAUAUAUAUCACAUAUGAUAGCAUUUAAUGUAUUAACACAUGGAAAAUCAAUAGCAAAAAUCAUGAUAUUCAUGUAUCAGAUUAAGAGUAAUGUAAUGCAUGUCGUUCAUACGGUAGAAAAUGUAUAUAUACAAUAGUCAUGUAUGUUAUUCAUAAUUCAUGCAGUGAUAUAUAAAUACGAUAUCAAUUUUAUCCAGUAAGGCAUGUAUGCUAAUAGGUUUCAUAUUUCAAGGGACUUAAUUGCACAAAGUUAAACAUUAAAAUAGUUUAGGUUUCAAUCAGGGAUUAAUAUAAACAAAUCUUAAAAAAUCUAAGUCAAAACUAUAAAUUCUAAGUUACAGAGGACAAGACAGACGGUCGUGUGAACAAACCAUGUGAGAAGCCUUGGACCGUGUGGUUGGGGUACAUGACCAUGUAGCUAGGCUGUGUGAUAGACUGUAGCCGUGUGGCAUUUGUAAAAUCAACCUAAAGAGGAGACACGAAGUGUGAUAGGCUGUGUACGAUUUAAAAUACUAGGGUUUCAGGGUGGACAUGGUCGUGUGAGGGGCUCGUAUGGUCAACACGGGUGGCCCACAAUCCAGUGUGGCUGGCCGUGUGGCCCUAUUCUAGGCUUGUUUUUGCUCUAAUUUACUCAUAAAAUAACACACAUCUGUCACCAGGGUCUCAAGCAAUGAUCCUCAUAUCCAAAUCUGAUCUGAGAUACCUACAAAAAUUCUUUCAACUGAAAAAUACGCAAGAGUUUAUAAUGGUUUUCAAGAAUAGUCAAGAUCUCGGGAGAUAUCAACAAGAUCGUAAAAGAUCGUCUAAUUGAUAUUGCAAUUAACAUUAACAAAAAUUCUACAGGCAUUUUGAGAUUUAAACGUCAGAAUUGAAAUAUUGUUACCAAUUCUUGGAAACAUUAGAGAUGAGAUUUGAUGGCGUCACGCAAAACUUAUAAAAAGAACGGUUGAAUGGAGAUCGAUUUCAGAUCAGGGCAAAAUUAGCCCAUCUUGCCGAAAUUAGAAAAGCCGAAAUUAGAAAAGAAAAAUGGAAAUAGAGAGGUGUUUGGCAUGGUUCAAACUUGAGAAAUAAUGGGGAGUAAAUGCUUAACCAUUUGGGUUGUUGCCUACUCUUGACAUGCUUUUACUCCAUUUAAUAUUUAUCCUAGGGGGAUUUUCAUUCUAGUUUGCUGAAAAUUUAAAACAAAGAAAUAGGAAAGGAGUGGAUUGAACCUAGGAUCUCUAGGGAUAAGCUUUUAACCAUUAAGACUAAGGCUUAUUUCUUGGUUAAUUAUUACUUCUAACCCUAUAUAUUUUGGGGUGUUACAUAAAUUGAAGGUGGCAGCCUUAGGGUUUACAAACCUUGGGAAUUUAACCAAUUAUUUCCUAUUUGGAAUUCAUAUCUUGCCCUUCCUGAAAAUUCCAAUAGAAUUAGAAUUUCACCAUCUUUUUCUUUUCUUUUCCUAAUUAGAUUUUCAUAUUUCUCCAUUUCAAAUCCUAAUAAAAUUUGCUCUCCAUCUUUCUAUUUCUUCUCUUUUUUGUUUCUUUCCCUUUUCUUUACAUAAUAUUUUCAUCCUAAUUGUUAUUGAUUAUUUUGGCUUUCCUGAACCAAAUCAUCCCUCGUUCAAUCGUUUUUCUAUCAAUUUUGUAAUUUCCAUCAAUAGUUUUCGUAUCAUUGCAAAAAAAUAGUAAGUACACCUCGUUUUGAUUAUUAGAUCUUGUAUUUCUGUAAUAUUACUAUUCGACGCUAAUAUUUUGUUUGAUUAAUCAAUCUUUUACGGUUCUUGCUAAAUCUUUGAUAAUCUUGUUGAAAUCUUGACACCAAUUGUUAAUUCGUGAGUAAAUGUCAUCUGAAUGAACAGAUUUAGGUGAAUCAGAUAAGAUUUAAUCGUAAGAAACGUUAAUCGGACCCCUGGUGAAAGGUGUAUGUUCUUUUACAAGUGAGUCGAAGCAAACUGUAUGUAGGAUUAGGGCCACACGAUCAGACCACAAGGCCACCACAUAGCCAUGUGCCUCUGUAAACACUAGGUUAGUUCGUGAACCAUACAACCACAACUCUUCCACAUAGCCUGCCACACAGCUAUGUCUCCGCUGUAGGGUAAUUUUUACGUUUGCCACACAACCACAGUCUGUUAAAUAUCCUAGCUAUAUGGUCGUGUAACCCUUUCACACACGGCCUGGCCACACGAUAGUGUGACCCUUAUUUUACAGUUUUGCCUCAAAUUUUGUGAAUUGUUCUGUUUAGUCCCUGUGUUGUCCUCGUACUAUUUUUAGAUUUUAUCUCACUCAAAUGAAUCCUUGAUAAUAUCUACAUUGGAACCCAUGAUCUGAGUGAUUGAAUUAUUACCGUUAUAUGUAUGAUAUGUGAACAAUACAUGACUGUUGUCUCUGUAUUAUUGAUUACAUGUUUAGUAUGCCUUUUCAUACCGUUAAAACGAAUACAUGAUAAACAAGACUUUUGCUACUGCAUUGAUCUAUCAUAAACAUGUCUAUUGCUACUGUAUUGAUAAGUUAUAAUCAUGUCAUAUUACAUUGCAUGGGGUGGGAUGAUAUAAACGAAUUGGAAGCGUUAGCAAUUUAUCUGCAACAAUUAGUGGUUUAUCCACACUGAUGAGUGGUUUAUCCACACCGUACUAGCAGUUUGUUUGCAAAGUUUUUUUUUAUCUAAAAACUCUGGUGUUUCAUCCACUAUUUUUACUACGAGUGGUUCAUCCACAACGAUGAGCAGCUUAUUUGCAACAAUGAGUGGUUUAUUCAUAAUGUGGUGUAAGGAUGGAGAAGUUCUGGGAAACUCCUAGUGUGGUUUGUAGCGGAGUUGGAUAGGAUCUAUUAUGAAAAAUUGAAACUGCAUUGCCAUUUAUGAGCAUGUGCACACAUAAACUAUGAAUUCUGAAACAUUGUUAUAUUAACGUGUUGACCUAAAGAACUGAUACUUUGAAUCGUUAUAUGAGUGUGAUUAUUCCGAGAAUUGUUAUUUUGUAUGCGCCAUCUACUAUUUGCACUGAUUUUCUUAUGAUAGUAUUCACACUGAGCUUCUUAAGCUCACCCCACUUUAAUUUCUAUCUUUUCAAAUAACCCACAAGGUUAGGGUGCGAACACGACAUCUGGAAGGUCUCAGCUCGGAUUUUUUUUAUACACGAUAUUUUAGAUUUAUUAUUUUAAAAUUUUGUUAUUCAAAAACUAUAUUGUUUUAUUUUAAACUGUGAAAUGGGACUUAGGUUUUAGGUUUAUAUAGCAUGCAUGACAUUUAAUUUGAUUUUAGGAUGUUGAAAUAUGAUUUUUAAUUAAUUUUGCAUAAAACCAGGUUUUCAUUAAAACCAUGUUAAAUAUCACUUUUCUGCUGCAUGACUAUCUAAAUGAGGUUUGAAUAUAUAUAUAACUAAAAUUCAGCUUUUGAAAAGAAAUCCUUAAGUUCAACCGACUUUUGAAACUAAAUUUUAAUCUUUUUAAAAUACACUAAGUUUUCUUCAUAAAUUAAAGCAAACGUUUUAAACAACUACUUUUAAACUCCGAUAGUUCUACUAGGCUAUUUCAAUGGUUAAUGUAACCUUCUAAAUUCAGGUUUAACGUCUAGACUGAGUUGUUGAGGUUAUAAAAAUUAUAAACAUGUUUAAAUAAGAAUUAAAUAUUUUUUAAAAACGUAUUUAAAAUACCUUUGAAAAAAAAAACUAAAAAAAACAUAUUUAAAAAUUAGAACCAUCAACAAAAAGAUCAAACAGUAAAAAUACUAUUAAAAAAUGAUUUAAAAUAUUUUUUAAAAAUUUUAUACAAUUAAUUAAAAUAUUUAGUUUUUCCUUAGAAUUAAUUAAAAUAAUUUAAUUUUUUUUAAAAAAAUUAUUUAAGAAAUUAAAAUGCUGUUAAAAAUACAUUUGUAACAAUAUUGUUAAUUUUUAAGUAGUUCAGGUUUAGAAUUUUAAAUAAACAUUUAUCCAUUUGAAUAAUUAUUUCAAUAAUUUGAAUUGUUGGAUAAUUUUUAAACAUAAAUAUUUUGUAUUUAAAUUAAAUCUUAUUUACAUGCAUGGAUAUUAUCCCAACAAAAAAAAAUCAUCAAUUUACUUUUUUUAAAAUUAUCUUAAUAAUUUUUUCUAUGAGAUAAAAUAAAGUUUUAAAUAAUUAGAGAAAGUAAAAAAAAAAAGUGAAAGAAAAUGAAAAGUUGAAUGAGUUGUAACGGGGGAGGGUUGUGGACCUUGCAUUAUUCAUCUGAAAAAGGAAAGGGUUUUGAGAAGCUUAUUAAAAAGAAGGUAUUUAUAUAGGUUUUGUAAAAGAUAAUGGUUUUAUUUUGCGUUUUAAGUCCUAAUAAUAUUUUUUGUUUAGUUUAAAAUUUUCCAAUUUAGUGUCUUAUCAUAAUUUUAAAUUUAUUCAUUUGAGGCCCUAAAUGCAUAUAUGAUUAUUCAAUCUUGGUCCUUAGUUUUGUUUUAAUUCAAUCUCUAUAUGUGAUCCUAAUUCGUUUUAGUCCUAAAUUAUUGUAAUUUUUUAUAAUGUCGGAACUAAUCUAUGAUUUUAUUUUAAUUAUUCCUAUAAUAUUUUUUGUAUUGUAUAAAUAUAUUAUAUGUUUUUUUUCUUGAUUUUUACAAAUAUUUUUAUUUUAUUAUAUUUUUUUUACCAAUCUCAAUGUAUGCAAUUGUCAUAAUAUUUUUUUAAUUUUUUAAAUACUAAAAUAAAAAUAUAUUAUUUGUUUUUUUGAAUUAUAAUAAAUAAAAUUUAAUCAAAUUUAAGGAAACGUUGUGCAUGUGGUGGUAUUAAUUAUGCACAUAAAUUUUAUAUUCAAAAUAGUUAAUCCUUCAAUAAUUUGCAUAUAAAUUUUUAUCAAUCUUGAAAAAGUUUUGUAUACAUUAGCUAAAGUACUUGUGCUAAUACAAUAAAUUGUGCACUAUUUUUAUAUUUUUUUAAUUAUUAAAUAAAAAUAUAAAAUUAAUUAAACUGUAUAUGUUUUUUUUAAAUAUUAGAAAAAGAUUAUAAAUUCAAAUUAUAAUAUUAGCUAUAUUUUAUAUUUUAUUUUUAAAAUGUUAAAUUAAAAAUAUAAUGUUAGAUAAACACCGUAAACAGUUUAAACAUAUAUUUUAAAAAAGAAUUAAACAUGUAAAAAAUUAUUUUAAAAUAUAGUACUAUUUAAAAAAAAUUCUACCAUACUAUAUUUAAUCAAAUUAUUUUAUAAUAAAAUUAUUUUUUAUGAUAUUUAAUUUUUACCGUACAGGAUAUAAAAUAAAGUAUUUAGCUUUUUUUAAAUUUAUUUAAUUAUGCAAAUAUGUUUUUAUUUUUUUUCUACCGUACAAUAUUUAAAAUAAAGUAUUCAAUUACUGUUAAAAACUAUUUUAACCAAACUAUUUUAAAUUAGCAUUCUAUUUAAGUGUUAAAAUGUGUUAGUAACUUUUAACAUACAUUUGCGGCUAAAAAACAUAACUAAUUUUUUAAUUAAAAUAAUAUUAAAUAAAAUAAUAAUAAUAAUUACUAAUACUUUAAUUUUAUAUUUUAUAUUGUUCUUAAAUAAAAUAUUUUUCUAAAUAAUAAUUAAAAAAACAAAAUUCCUAUUACAUUAGUUUAAAAAUAACUUUUAUAUUUUAAAAAAUCAUAAAUUAAAUUAAAUUAAACUAAAUAAAUAUUAUAAUAGUAUAAUUAAAAAAAUUCUUGCUUAAAAUAGCUUUUUUAAUUAUUACAUUUUAAAAUUAAAACACUUGAAAUUAUUGUAUAAUUUUUUUUUGGAAUUAUAAAGAUAAACAUAUAUAUGUCACUUACUAAGUAAAAUGUUAAUUAUUCAAUCAAUGAAAUUAAUUUAAAUAAAAUUAUUUUAACUAUGAUUUUAUAUCUUAUUAGCUUGACUUUAAUUGUUGUUUAAUGCCUACAUACAUAUAUUAUAAGAUUCAUUUAUGUUUAAUCUAAGAAAUUAUAUUACAUCAUAUACAUAUAAUAAUUUAAUAUAUUAUUUUUAUAAAAAUAUUGAAUUACAAAAUAUAUAAAAAAACACAUAAAAUUAUCUAAAUUUAUUUAUGAAAUGAAUGAUAAAAUUAAAUUAAUACAAAAUUUUAAAAUAUUUUAAUUAAUACAUACAAUCAAACUCAUACACCGUCGAAUAAAAAAAAUUAGUAUAUUAUAUAUUACAAGGUUCAGUUUUAAUAUAUUCAUACUAUAAAAAUUUGACAUGUGGCAAGGAAAGGAAGAAAGAAUUUGUGGAGGGAAAAAUUACCACAUAAAUCUCUCCUCAUUUUUUGUUUAUAAUUUUUAUUAGUGUUUUGCUCAAGAGCAAAGGAGAGCAUCAAGACAAGAGGAGCAUGCAAAAGGAGCCUUUCAAGCAAGGAAUAAAAAAGGUUCGAGCUCCUCAAGCUUUAAAAGAAAGAAAAGCUUAGAAGAGACAAUGGAAAGAAGAAAUAUCCACCAUGCUCUUAUUGCAAGAAGACAGGUCAUCUAGAGAAGUUUUACUGGUUCAGACCUGAUGUUCAGUGUAGAGCCUACAAGCAACUUGGCCAUAUGGAGAAUGUUAGCAAGAAUAAGGGGCAAUCGCAACAGCAGCCACAACAGCAAAAUGCUCAGGCACAGGCAGCUAAUGGAAAUCAAGUUCAAGAAAAUUUGAUGUUCACUGCCUCAUGCUUUGCCAUCAACAAUAUUCGAAAGCACUGGCUUAUUGACUGUGGCUGUACAAGUCACAUGACCUCAUAUGCAAGUAUCUUUAAGAGCAUUGAUAAAAAGCUUCAACUCCAAGAUCAAAGUUGGAAAUGGCUAGUACAUCAAAGUAGCAAGGAAGGGAGAUGUUUUAAUCAACACUCCAUCAGGUACUAAACUUGUUUCAGAUAUUCUUUUAGUACCUGAUAUAGACCAAAACCUGCUAAGUGCUGGUCAAUUGCUCAAGAAGGGAUAUUCCAUGGUGUUCAAGAACAAUGGAUGCUUAAUUUUUUAUCCUAAUGGAUGUGAGCUUAUAUCAGUGGCCAUGUUUGACUUAAGCUUUUCUGUAGGUUGGAACUUAGCAACUUCUGAUGCCUAUGUUCACUUGUGGCAUUGGAGAAUGUGACAUCUCAACUACGGAUCCUUAAGUCAGAUGUCUAGGAACAAUUGGUUGAAAAUUUUUCAAAAAUGGUUGAGCAUAAGGAUGUCUUCGAAGUUUGUCAAUUAGAAAAGCAAUCUAGGUUUCCUUUUCCAACCAAUAAAGCUAAGAAAGCCAACGAUAAACUGCACUUAGUGUAUUCUGUUGUUUAUGGACCAAUGAGAACUUUUUCACUAAGUGGCAACAAGUACUUUGUCUUGUUCAUUGAUGAUUGUACAAGAAUCUGUUGGGUAUACUUCAUGAAACUCAAGUAUGAAAUGGCUAAAAUCUUCUAGAAGUUCAAAGCAAUGGUUAAGAAUCAGGUCAGUUGCAAGCUUAAAAUGAUCGGGUCAGACAAUGGGACAGAAUACAAUUCAAAAAAUUUUCAAGAGUUUUGUGAAAAGGAAAGAAUUUAUCAUCAACUCACCGAUUUCUACAGUCCACAACAAAAUGGACUAUGUGAUAGGAAAAAUAGGACUGUAAUAAACAUGGCUUGAUGCCUAUUGUUUGAGGGCAAGCUGCCAACAAUUUUGGGUAGAAGUAGUAAACACUUCAGUUUACUUGCUAAACAUACUGCCAAUCAAAGUUGUAGAAGGGAAAACUCCAUUUGAAGCUUGGUUUGAGCACAAACGUUCAAUUUCUCACCUAAGAGUGUUUGGUUGCUCAUGAUUUGUUUAUGUGCCAAUAGAGAAAAGAAGCAAGCUUUGAUAAAAGACCAUAACCUGGGAUUUUUCUGGGAUACAACAUUAAUAAGAAGGGCUAUAAGAUCUUUGAUCCUUUCUCCAAGAAAAUUAUUGUAAGCAGAGAUAUAAAGUUUGAUGAAGGGUGAAUUUGGAAAUAGGAUGCAACUGAAAAUGAGAUACUCAAGUUAGGAGAACUGGAACCGAAUCUACAACUUACUGAAGAUCAAGUUGAGAAUGAAAGCUUUGAUGACUAUCCAGUGAGAGGAACUAGGCCAAUUGUUGAAGUUUACCAAAGAUGCAAUCUAGAAGUAUUGGAACAAGUUACCUUUGACGAAGCAGCACAAGAAAUUGAAUAGACAAAUGCCAUGAAGGUUGAGAUUAGCAUGAUAAAUAAGAAUGAGACAUAGGAGUUGGUAGAUAAAUCAAUUCAUAAGAAGACCAUUGGGGUCAAAUGGGUGUUUAGAAUCAAAAUGAACCUUGAUAAUUUAGUCAAAAGUUUAAGGCUAGAUUGGUUGUUAAGGGCUUUAAUCAACAACAUUGUGUGGAUUUUACUCAGACCUUUUCCUUGUAUCAAGGUUAGAUACCAUAAGACUGUUGCUAACACUUACAACUCAAAAGGGUUGGGGGAUACAUCAAAUAGAUGUAAAAUAAGCUCUCUCUUUUUUGAAUGGUUUUCUAAAGGAAGAGAUCUACAUUGAACAACCUCAAGGUUUUGUUGUAACAAGAUGUGAGGCAAAGGUAUACAAACUAAAGAAAACCUUGUAUGGCCUGAAAUAGGCCCCAAGGGCCUGAUAUGAGAAGAUUGAUAAUCAUCUAGCAUAUUUGGGAUUUGAAAGAAGUAAAAGUAAACCUACACUGUAUAUGAAAAAGGUUAGGAAUGAAACAUUUCUUAUAGUGUCUUUGUAUGUUGAUGAUCUGCUUGUGAUUGGAAAUAUUGAGCUGGUUUGUAUCACCUCUAACUCGUCUCUAUCGUCGAAUUAGGGUUAUGGAGCAUAAUUGUACAAAACAAAACAUUUAACUUCCAAAUAGAACAAAAAUACAAUUUAAUAUUAAUUUCUAAUAACUCAAUACAAUCAUGGAAAAUAUACAUAUUUGGGCCUUAAAUCUAGCCUUCGGGCCGUAAAAAUAAUUUGGGAACAAUCAGGGAUUAAUUUGAAACAAAUCAAAAAAUUUUGGGAAAAACAUGAAAAAUUGGGAAACAUGGGUCACACGGCCGUGUGACAUAACCCAGACCAUGUGGACAUUUGAAGUAUGGAAACAUGGCUGUGUCCCAACCCAUGUGUUCGACCGUAUGGGUAUUCGAAAUAAGACCACACAGUCGUGUCGCAAACCGUGAGUUAGACUGUGCCAAAAACUGUUUUGAGACACACGGUUGUGUCUCAGACCGUGUGAAACUUGUACCUAAAACAAUAAAUACACACGGCCGUGUGUAGAGACCGUGUGUGGCAUACAAUUGUGUGACAGCUCGUGUCUUAGGCCGUGUGCUGCAAAAGUUACCCCUAAAACAAGCCAUUUCAACACCAAAACUUGCACACCAAGACACACCAAUUCUAUCAACUUUCACAUGACCAAAACACACUUCAACCACAUUCAAAACAUACCAUUUCAAUCAUCCUAUAAGCUCUAACCAAUAUGUUAUUCAAAGGCAUCACAAUUCAUAAACCAAAAUCAAUUAAAAACCAAAUUACAAUACCAACAUCAAUCAUUUAGCAUGGAUGCUAAAAGACCGUUCCAUCUCAAUUUUAACCAUCACAACUUACCAUUUUAGAUAUGCAUAAUCAAAAUGACCAUAUUCAAAUGAGUUUAAACUUAUACAAGCCAAACCAAAGCCAUAUAUAUACAAAUAACUACAAGUAAAGUCAAAACACAUCAUAUGUGCAAAACUAAACCAAAAUACCUAUUACAUCAAGUCCUAUACAUGCCAUUUGUAACCAUUUGACAAAAAUACACAAAAUCUACCAAAGUGGUCGACAAAUAGUGUGAUAGAGCACCGACAGAAUUCCCAACCAUAGUAGCUUUCUGAAGAUCUACAAGACAAAGAAAAGAAAGCAACUACAUAAGAAAAUGAUACUUAGUAAGCUCAUAAAAGAGAAGCUCAACUUACCAAAUAACAAUUUCUUGAAUAACCAAUAAAUAUUAUUUAAUCUUUAUUUGCACAUUUCCAUCAAAAUACACCACAUUACAAGUUAGCAACUAAACACACAUAUAUAAAAACAUAUUAUUCAUCAUAAGCGACAUAUCAAGCAUAAUGUCUCAAUAGAUAAAUCAUCAAUCACUAAAUAAUAAAAAAUAUUUCUUUCCAAUUCAUAAGUGCAUAACCUUUCCAAAACACAUACAAACCUUUACAAGACGGAUCAUUCCAUGAUUCCCUUUUCAAACAUAUCCUUUUCAAUCGUGUAAGGAUUUGGAGUGGCUCUACCUAGGAUGGGUUCCUCAAGUCUUCUACAUGCGGUUUGGCUCUAAAGUCAAGGUACCCGAACCAGCAGAUUCCUCGAUCUUCACCCAUUAUAGGCUCAUACAGACCGAGUUCGGUUCAGGGGAAUACAUUUCCCUAUGGCUGCACGGAGAUGAAAAUCUCACGAAGACAUAGGUACAGAUGUAUCCCGAAAGUGAUUCACUAUCCAGCACAGAGGUGAAAACCUCACGAAGGAGUAGCUUCUCACUCCCACUUAAAAGGACAAGACUAAACAGUCUUAUGCAAUAUGAUGCCAAAAUAUACAACUCAAUUUACAAUAUUCAUGCAAACAAGUGCAAAGAAAAGAUCGUAAUUUUUCAAAUCAAGUUUUCAAUUUUCAACAAUAAGACAGGAAACAAUCAAUUUUACGGCUUGACUCUCUAAAGAUCCCCAGUGGAGUCGCCAAGCUGUCGAAACCUCCUUUUUAAAUUUAAAUUUAAAUCAAAAAGGGGGAUCGACUUUGAAAAUAAAAUGGGAUUCGCCACCGAUCUUUUGUUAAGGUGUGACUAGUUCACCGUUAAAAUCGAAUUUGGUCCCCGAAAUUUUGAGAAAAUAAAUUCGGGAGUCGCUUACGCACGAGGAAGGGUUAGCACCCUCGUACGCCCAAGAUUGGUACCAAAUUAAUUGUUUGAUGUCUUAAUUUCAAAACUCUGAAAAGAUUUUAAAAUACGAUCCUUUGGUGAGAAAACUUGAAUCAACUAAAUUGAAUGAUAAGUCGCACUUAUUUCGCAGAAAUAAAUUGCCACACUCAGUGAGUUAGAAUGCGACAAUUCAAUCGUCAAAAUUAAAUAUGUCUUUUUAAUUCAAAAUUUAAAAUUCAUGUAUUCUGAGAAGGUUAUUCGAUCAUUUAAGUCAAACGGGAAAUCAGAAUCCAGUAAGUUAGGGUUCAAUUUCUUGAAAUUCCUAAACAUCAAACAUUGUCUUUAUUUUAAAAUCGAGAUAACAAAAUGUUGUAUCCAGUAAGUUAGGAUCCAACAUUUUGAAGUCUCAAAAGCUCUAUUUAAGAGUUGUAUGGUUUUACCAAAAUAAACAUUGGGCUAUCCAAAUUCAUCGAGAAGAAUUGAAGCCCAGUAAGUUAGGGCACAAUUCUCUCGAGAGCUAUGAACGCCAGGUCCUUUUGAAAAUUAUGAAAAAUGAUUUUGGUGCUUUAUUGAAACACCAUUUUUACAAAUGUAACAUGAUUGAAUGGUAAUAUACAAAGUAACAGGAUAGCUUGGAAAUAGAAUGUACACUAAUGAAUAACAAAAAUCAAAUAACAAAUACAAACAAACAUGUCAACAAAAAAAUUACGCAAAUAUCAACAUUGACUAAUAAGAGGGGACUAACUAAAAACAAGCGAAUAAGUACAAAUAAAGUAUAUCAGUUCAAAAUAUAAUUUAAGAAAAAAAUGGUAUGAAAAUAGGUAAAUUGUAAUUAAUAAAUUAUAUGAACAAAAAAUUAAAAUGAAUUACACGUAGAAAAGUUUGAAAUAGAUUAAGAAAUAAAUUUUACAUGAAUUGUAAUAUGCCAACGAAUUCUAAAAUAAGUAUAGUAUGAGCAAAAAAUUGAAAUUUAAUAUAUAAAGCAAUACAUAUAAUGAUUUAGAUAGAUAAUACGUAUUAAAUGAAGAACUUAAUAAUAGUAAUAAAAAUAAUAAUGAUAAUAUAUAUAUAUAUAUAUAUAUAUGAUAACAAUACAAAAGGGUUGAAAUAACAAAACAUGUAAGUAAGUUUUUUUAAAAAAUGAAUUAUAAAAGUGACUUAUUUAAGAGAAAGCUAAAAGAUAAUAAUUAUAAUAAGUGGAAAUCAAUAAUAUAUUCAUAAAAUAAAAUAAGAAAUGAAGAUUACGUAUGUAUGCUCUAAUAUAGUACAAAAAUAUGAUUGUAAUUUUUAGAAUAUAGGAAUAUAAAAGAGAGUUUAAAAAUAAAGAUUAUAAAAAUUAUAAAAAAUAUACAAAUCAUGUUAAGUUACUCAUAAAAAUAAAUGUUGAAUUUAAGUAGUAAUAUAUGAAAACUUAGGGUUAUAGUACAUAAUAAAUUUAAAACCAAUCACAAAAUGAAUAUAAAUAAUAUUAAUGAUUUUGAUGAUAACAAAAAAAAUAUUAAGCUCAACCAUAUAGAAAUAUGAGAUUUAAAAUUAAGUGCAUAAAAAAAAUGAAAUAAUAUACAUCCAAUCGAAUAAAAAUAAACUAUAAACUAAAAUAAAGAAGAUUAAAUUGGAUUUAAAAUUAGAAUCGAGGGAAAAUUUGUAAAUAAAAUAAGAUAAAGGAUCCGAUUAUAAAUCGUGAAUAACUUAGAGGGAUUGAAUGAAGAAAUGUCCCUACCCACUGCAACGCGUUAAACUAACUAGGAUCAAAUUAGAAACCAGAUAAAAGUUGCAGUAUCAAUUAAAGAAAACGAUAAAAGAAAUAAAAAAUAAUCACAGAUUCAGAGGGAUUUAAUGCGCAAAUAGACCAAACACCCAAAGUGCGCGGAUCCUUCCCUCGAGCCGGGUCACCGCGCGGGUCAUGGUCACUAGACGCUCAAAACGGUGCCGUUUCGAAGCUAUGGGAACCAACCUCGAACGGCGUCGUUUUAUACACCCACCUAAACGCCUUAAAACCUGAAGCAGAAUGCUUUAGCCCUAAGUUCGGACCAGAGGGAGGCCGCCCCUACCCUCUCUACUGCUAGGAUUUCAACCCUAUUUUCGCGCCGCCGAAAGCUCCGCCAAUAUCCGGCCUCACAACUUUAGCCCGAGCUUCGAUUGCGACGAAGCGAGCAAGGUUUCAAUCGGCGCUACGUUAAGGUGAAUCCUUUCCCUUUUUACCUCUAUUUACAAAAAUCAAUAGUAAUAAACAUGCAUCGAUGGAACAGAGAAGAUAAAAAAAAGCAGAGAAACAAACACCUUCAAGAAACUUUUGAUCUUUUUUUGUAUUAAUUCUCUAAAUAUUUUUUUUAUUUUUUGUUCAAUAUCAUGUGUGUCCCUUACAAAUGCUGAAAAGUGGCUUUAUAUAGCCGAAAGUAAAAAUGAAAAUUACAAAAAAUGUAUUUCAUUUUUCCUAUUUUCUUUUUCUUUUUUGCUACUAUUUGUCUUUUUUCGUUCGUCCUUCCUCUGUCGCUUCGUGUGUUGCAGGUGUUUGUUACAUUGCAGGUACGGGUACAGAGGCCGUAUGGUGACGUGGAGGGCAGUGCACGUGCCAGGGAGGGUUCUGGUGGCUGCGGCGCUAGAGGCUCGCAUGUGGGGAAACGACGCUGGGAGCUUCUAGGGUUCCCUGCCUCUAAUUUUUGUUUUGGGCUGCAUAUUGAUUGGGCUAGGGUUUAAUGGGUAAUUCGGGUUAGGUUUAGUUAGUAUUUCGGGUUAGGGUAUUUUAUUUCUAUUUGUAAUUGGGUUUCAGGCAAAUUUUAGGCCAAAUUUUGUAGUCUGGACUGUACUAAUUGGACCUUUAUUUUUGUUUGGAAUUUAUUUUUAUUUAUGUGGGCCCAGGCCAAAAUUAGGCCUUACACUGGUUAACAUCCUUUUCAAUCUUUUCAUUUGUUAUCCUUUUCAGAUAACUUCCUUUUCAACCUUUUCAUUUAUUAUCCUUUUCGGAUAACUUCCUUUUCAACAUUUUCAUUGAUUCAGAAAUACUGAAUGUAAUGCCAUGGUGUCUUUCAAUCAUGGUCUUUUCCUUUUCGAGUAUAAUACCAUGGUAUAUUUCAAUCUCGGACUUUUCCUUUUCUCAAAUCAAAACAGUCUUUAUCAUAAUUAGAUAAAUCAUAAAUCUAUGAAUUAACCUUAAAAAUUCAAAUGUAAUAUUUUAAAAAGGAAACACGAACUUACCUUGACAAAAACGAUUGUAAGAAACAAAGCCGAUGACUACUCCAACACUUUAGCUUUUCAUCGGUUUAAGUCCGGUUGAUUCGUUUCUUGAUCUAACUAGCAAUUUAACUCAAUUAAAUAAUUCAAUUAGCUUAAAUUUAUAGAUUCUAACUUAUAACCCAUUUUAAUGCAAAAUUAAAAAUUUACCCCUAAAAUUUUAAUUAUUAUGCAAUUUAAUCCCUAAAUCCCAAACUCACAAUUAAACCACAAUUAAUGAACUAUCAUGAUAGCCGAUUUUAUCUAAGGUCCUAUACCAUCCAUAUCUUUCAUUAUUUCAUAAAAUUAUUAUUGAAUUUUACCAUUUUCUCAAAUAAAUCCUUUAGUUCAAAUUCACUAAAAAUUACUUAACAAAAUAUGUCUAUUUAGAAACUAAGAUUAAUAAUCCAUAAAUAAAAUUCACUAACACUACAAAAUCAUUCAUGGAAAGUCCAUAAACAUUUAACGGUUUUACAAGUUGACCCUCGGGGUAGCUAGAUUAAGCUAAUACGAGCUCAAAAACAUAAAAAUCACUAAAAACGGAAUAAAAAUACAUACCAUACAAAAAAAAGAGCUUGGCAGAAAGUUCUGCCUUCAACAAUGGAGGAUUCGAUUUUAGGGGAAGAAAAACAAAGAAGAUGAUACUUCAUUCAUCUUUUAAUUACUUUGUUUAAUUUAUUUACUAAUUUACCUUUUUACCCUUAUUAUAAUUAAUAAUUUUCAACUAACAUAUGUCCAUAACUACCCACUAACAUGAUUUAUGGCAUAUUUACUCACUAAGUACAUUAAUUUAAAAUAUCAUAGCCUUUUGAUCCUUGUAGCUAAUAGAAAUCAUUUUUUGUAAUCUUUACAAUUUAAUCCUUUUUACUUAAUUAACUAUUUAAACCUUAAAUUUUCUUAACAAAAAUUCAAUACAACCCUAAUAUGACCCUAUAAACAUUAAAAUAUUAACUCACUCAUUAGAAUCGUGGUCACGUAACCAUUGUUUCCUACACCAUUGAAAAUGGGCUGUUACACAGUUGUUGACUUCAAAGAACAGAUGUAUAUGGUGUUCAAGAUGUUAAACUUGGGAGAAAUGGCAUACUUCCUUGUUCUUGAAGUGAUUCAAACUUGUGAAGCAAUCUUUAUAAGCCAAAAGGCUUUUUCCAUGAAGAUUUUGUAAAAGAUGCUAUAUGGAGAAUUGCAAGCUUGCGAACACUCCUAUUCCUCAAGGAGACAAGCUCACCAGUAAUGAAAAUGUUGAAAGAGUAAGUGAGACAAGCUAUAGAAGCUUGGUUGGAUACCUGCUUUACUUGACUGCAUCCAAACCAGAUAUAGUGCUUGUUGUAAGCUUAUUAUCGAGGUACAUGCAUCACAGCAAUAUGGUCCAUUACAAAGCUACCAAAAGAGUUUUGAGGCAUGUAAAAGGAACAUUGAGUUAUGGAGUGACGUUCAUGAUGGCUAAAAAACUUAAGCUACUUGGAUACUCAGUUAGUGAUUGUGUAACACCAUGCUCAGUCCAGUCACCGGACCUGAGCUACAUGAUGCUAUAGAAGAUAAUGGAACAAAUACAUGUAAAUUUGACAUUUAGCAAUCAAAACAAUCAUUAAAAUGUUCAUGACUCAAGUAUGCAAUGACUUACACAUCAAUCUAAGUCUCAAACGAGCUUACGAAAGCACUUAAACUUAACAAAAUAUAUGAAAAUUUCAACCGUGUGACCAAGCUGAUGUCGUGUGGUGCUGAACCACACAGCCGUGUAAUAUAGGGUCACAUGGUUGUGUCGCUAGGCCUUGUAACAAUAUGUGGUCGUGUGGACCUAAUUGUAAAACUUUACAAACAUUCACACGACUGUGUGGCUAGGUCGUGUGAGAGAUUGAGAUCAUGUCAACAUUCAUGCAUCUAAAUUACCAGUAUCACACGGUCGUGUCAACCAAUUGUGUGAGACACACGGCCGUGUAGCAAACCAUGUGUGCAUGAAAAGAUACCUAAUGUACAAUUUGGCUUAACCUUAUACAAAGACUUAUAAUGCAUUCCUUUACUAACAUUAAAGCCAGCUCAAAUAUGCACAUUUCAUGCCCAAAAUAUUACUUAUAAAGCAUUCCUAUGUAUCUAACCAAUAUGCCAUAAUUGGCACCGUAAUCAACUAAAUUAUUUCAAUCCAUUCACUUAUAAUUUAUGCAUUCAUUCAACUAUCACAUUCUAAAUCACUUAGCACACAUUCGAGCUAGUCAUACACAUCUUCAUUUCAUAUGAGCAUAAGUAUAGUUUAACUUGCCGAAACAAUCCCAUAAACUUACUUUAAUAGAAUACCCAAAUAAACAUACCAAAAUAGGCAAGUUCAUAAAUUUGAACACCAAGCACAUAUAUAUAUCACACAUAUUACAUGCCACUUAUAACUGAACCAAGAUGAACCAAAGAUUACCAACAGCUACGCUAGAUAGUGUGAGCUUUAGAAGUGAUCCAAUAGCCAAGUUUCGUAAAUAUGCAACUACAGAAGACAAAAAUAAAACGGGGUAAAGAUUGACAUGCUUCGUAAGUUCAUAGGUACAUAAACAAUAGUCUUACCUUAGAUUCACCUUUAAGUAAAUAGAAUUAAGUAGUUUAAGUUACUUUCUUGUCAAAACAUUUUACAACAGUAAGGUGAAUAUAUCACGAAUCAAUCAUAUAAUCUUCCUAAAUCCAUUCAAUAUGAUACAUAACAGUAUCGUUCAGUCAAACUAUAAAACCUAUUAAUCAAGUUAAUCAAUUGAUAAAAUCCAUUAUUAAACACAUUCUUCUCAACUUAUUACAUACACAAUCAAAUAUCCUUUUCUUUUAAACAUAUAGCACCGUUACCACAUGUCAUAAGUACAAAACUAGCGUUUCAUACAUGUAAACUAUAAAAUUUCAGUCAUUUUGAUAUCAUUUCCAUACAACUUUUAAACACAUACUUAUCAUUCAUUCAAUUUCAUCAGCUAACAUUUCAAUAAACGUACAAACAUAUUAUUUCUCAGCAACUCAUGAAAUCAAUCAAUAUACUUUCUUUUUUUAACAUGUAGCUUGAUGAACUAUAGCAAAAUAAUUCGAAUACUCGGUUAUCCACACAAAAUACGCUAGAAUGCUCAAACGAGCAAAACCAACCAAGAACGCACCUAGGCACUGAGUGCCAAGCCCAAAGGCUAACAUCCUUCCAAAAACACGCAUGGACACUAAGUUCCAAGCCCAAAGGCUACACAUCAUCCCCCAGAAACAUGCAUGAAUCACUGCAAAUACAACUCAGUAAUCUGAAAAAGUUGCUGGAUACCAGCACAUUCAAUGAACAAAUAAACAUAUAAUCUAUCAUCAUCUCAUCUCAUAUCAAACCCAUACAUCACGCGAUAUAACCCUAUUGGCAUGUCAAUCGUAUCCUAAUUAUUUAUUACGUUGAAAUAGACAUUUAAAUAAGAUUCAUAAUAUUUAUGAAUCAUGGGCAUUUUCAUGUUCUCGGUACACAUGUUGUAAACAAGUCACAUUCAUUCUGAAUUCAUAUGAAUCAUGUUUCACCAGUAUUCAACAUUUCUUAAUUAAGUCGUUACUCACCUUAACAUUAGUUUAUAACAUUUCAAUUUCAAUUCACAAUAUUAAUAACAUAUAUAUUCAAAAUUCAAUAGCAACAAUAUGUAUAUAUACAUUUCAAUACACUAUGAACUUACCUAAUGUAUUUGAAUACAAAGUUGAUUUGUAGAGACUAUUAUGCAAUUUUCUCUUUUUUUCCCAAUUUUCCACCAUACGAUUCAAUCCUUGAUCUGUAUAAUAAUCCAUUUCAGAUUAUUAGCUUUUAACACCUUAAACCAUCUAAAUUCAUGAAUAUAAUAUUUUUUAUUCAUUUUGUAUCAUUUUCCCUAAAUUUUUGUAUUUUAUUCAAUUUAGUCCUUAAAGCCGAAACUAGUAUAUCUUUCAAAUCCAAGCUUUGAUUUCCAAUCUAAUUACAAAUCAAUCACUAUAAAGCCCUUUAAAAACAUAAUUUUCAAAAAUUUCAUGACAAAUUUUAUAUUAUUACAAUUUGAUCUUUAUACACAAAACUAACAAAAUUUACUUAACAAAUUAUUCUCUAUUCACAACUAAGCCUACAAACAUACCAUUAAACAUUAAAAGAUUCAAAUUUUAUCAAUGGCAAUAUAUUAAAGCUUUAACAGUUUUGAAAAUGGAGAUAUGAUUUAGUUGGACCUAGUUGCAACAAUCUGAAAACAUAAAAUUACUAAAAAUAGGAUUAAAAUGGCCUUACAUGAAACAACACAAGUGCAGACGAAUUUAGAGUUUUAAAAAUGGUGGCUUUAUGCUUUUCUAUUUGGUGGAAGACUAGUUAAGGAAGAUGAUAUCCCUCUUUUAAUGUUUAAUAAACAUAUAUUAUUUUAAUAUAACUUUAACAUAUAAAAUUAGUAAAAUAAAAGACUAGUAGUCCACCAAUAUUGAAAAAGGGGUCUUUACCUCUUACAUCCUCCCACUUUGACUAUUUAAGCCUUUUAACUAAUAAAAAAUUAAUACCGAUAAACUUUUAUAACUUUUACGAUUUAGUCCUUUUUUCUUUAAUUAACUAUCAAAUCAUCCGAAUUUCUAGACCAAACUUCAAUUCACUAAUAUAAUAGCUAUGUAAAUAUUCAAUAAUAAUGUUUAUGAGCUUGAUUUAUGAAAAUAAGGUUAUGAUACCUCAUUUUUCCAAAACUAGUGACUUUUGGUACGCAUCACUUAUACCUUGACUAACUGACCAAUUAAUAAAAUCUAUUAAAUCACGAUUCAAUAUUAUACUAUAUUUUACUCAUAAAUAUUAAUUAAAUAUAUCUAUGGAUUCUCUCAUCGAAAUUGUGGUCCCGAAAUUACAGUUUUUGACACCAUCAAAAAACGGACUAUUACAGACUAGGCAGGAUCUAUUGAGGACAUAAAGAGUACCUCAAGCUAUUUCUUCACUCUAGGGUCAAGUGCUUUCUUCUAGAGCUAAAGAAAGAAACAAUCAUUGGUCCAAUCCAAAGAAAAAAUAGGGUAUGUUGCAGCUGCUGCAGUUGUUAGCCAGGCCAUUUGGCUAAGAAAGUUGUUGAAUAACUUGAACUUGAACCAAGAGGAAGCAACAGAGAUCAAGUGUGACAAUUAUUCUGCUGUUGCAAUUGCAAAGAAUCCAGUAUUCCAUAGGAAAACAAAGCACUUUAAGAUAAAGUAUCACUUUGUAAGAGAUGUGCAACAAGCAAAAGAAGUUGAACUGAUCCAUUACAGUUUAGAAGAUCAACUUGUAGAUAUCUUGACAAAACCUCUUGGGACAACUAGAUUCGAGAAGUUAAGAUUUCAAAUUGGAGUUUACAGCAUGGAAGCCAAGGAGGAGUAUUGAAAGGUGGCCAACCAUGCUGCUAAUAUGUUUUUUUUAUACAUGUAGCUCGUGUGAAUGUUACAGUAAUAUGUUUCAUCUUUUUAGUUGCAAUGUAAUUUUUCUUAGUUGAAAAAGGACAAGAUUGAUAACACCUUGAUGUGUUUAGGUGAUGAGUAACUUGUUUAGUUGACUUUUUUUAGUGUACAAGCAAUGUUUUGACAGACUCAAUGCUGAUUAGUGGUGUUAGUUGAGUAUUAGGUAUGUAAACUCAACCUAUAAUGUAUUAUUUUCAAGUUGAAUGAAAUCAGGUCAAUUUUUUCUGCAUCCAUUGCUUAUUUUCUUUAUUUUUUUACUUUCUUUCAUUGAUUGAUGAGCUAACAUAAUUGUUGCAUUGUUUGAGUUAAAUUUCUCUAGUUAUUGCAUAUUAAAGUUACUUUUCAGUGGUAAAAGGAGUUGCAGACAAUAGUUUAGAAUUAAAGUGGAUAAAAGGGAAAAGUCUUGGCAGUGGUUCUUAUGGAGUAGUUCACUUGGUAAAACUUAUAGACUUGGUUUUUUACCAUUAAGUUUUGGCCGUCAAGUCCUGUUUUUAUGAAGACUCUAAUUUACUUAAAAAUGAAAUAAACCUUCUUCGAUAAUUUUCUGGUUGUAAUAAUAUUGUUCAAUGCUGAUGCGAACCCGGUCGCGUCAUGUUUUGAUACAUCUCGACGACAUCAGGAUUUGCCUAAACUCGAGGGGCCUAAGUGCAAAAUAAGACGUUUAAUUUCAGUUUGUUAAUAAAUUGAGUUCAUUUUAGUUAAUAACUCAUCUUAGAUUAAUAAAUGAGUUACUGAUCAUUAAUACAACUCAUCUUAGUUUUAAUAAUCGAGUUAUUAUUGAACUUCAUUUAAUAGAUGCUUCUUAAUUAAUCUAGUUCCUAGAAUUAUUUAUUGAUGCAUGAGUUAAGCUCAUUUAAUUAUGCUUCUUUAAUUAACUAGUUGUUGGAAUAAUUGAUGCAUAUGUUUUAGUUCAUUUACUUAAGUAUUAAUGUGUGUUAUGUUUAAUAAGUGUUUACAUGUGUUUAAUAAGCUCAUUUUAAUGUGUUUAUUGCAGGAGUCUUUUCAAGUCAUAACCAUUACAAUUCAAGGCUGUUACAAAUUAAAUAAAGUGGUUAUUCAAGUCAUUUUCGGUUACAAAGUAAAAGGGCUGUUACAAAGGAGGUUUAACAUAUCUUUUAAAAGAGUUUAAAGAGUGGAUUAUUGCUUCUUUAAAUUCGGCAGCAAGCUUUUCAACUACCUACCAUUUUUGCUGCUUCAAAAGAAUUAAUCCAAGAAUUCAAAACACCAUUAAGGUGUUGGUGACUAUUCAGCUAACCAAAGGACAUUUCAAGAGUCACUUUUCAUGCAUUCAAGGUCAAUUAUGCAGCUGAAUUGAAGUGAAUUAAAUGGUGGAGUUAUUUGGUUCAAGAAUUCCAAGAGGCUUGAGCUUUAUUUCAGCUUUUAAGAUGAAUACUUUUGACCAUUCAGCUAGCCUUUUUCUAGCCUUAUAAAUAUGUGUGUAAUCAGCCUUUUGAAGGGACGUUUACUUUUGGAACUUUGAUCAAAUUUUAUGAACAUUUUGUUCACGAGUGAGUUUACCUCCUCUCCUAUUUUGUACAAGUCUUGUUCGACUUAUCUAGCAUUGCUAAGGGUGUCUUCUCGACUUGUUUCUUUGAACUUAUCACUCAUCACCGAGUGUGGCGUUCUCCAAAAUAUACCUUUGGUUCCUAACUUCCUAGUUAGCGGGUCAAGGUCCACCUUAAGUGACGUAUAAGUCUCGGGUCAGCUCUUUGAUAUAGUGUUGGUUCUUUCUUGUCCUUAAGAUUGUUUUUCCACAUCCACCACCUAUCUGACUUAUCAAUCCUUUAUUUCUUUACCAUUAAAUCGAACCUACAUAUUUCUAAACCCUCCUUUCAUUCUCAAAACCACUUUGUUAGCUUCCGCAUAUCAUCACCAAACUUACGAUUUCAACGCCUGAACAUUCUCCUCGUCGAUGAUUGAUGCAAACACGUGAAUGGACUUGACUCUCCUGGGCUGGAACACAUCAAAUGCUAUGGUAACGCUUUAUUUUUAGAAAAAGGGAUGUCUCUUUACAACUUACUUCUUGAAUAUGCCUGACUCGUGGUACUCUUGGAGACCUAAUCAAAAAAUAUGGUGGCAAUAAACCAAAAGAUAAUCUCAAGUGUUACAUCAAGAUGUUGCUUGAAGGCAUUCAUCGCAUCCAUGCAAAAGAAUAUGUCCAUUGCAACCUUAAACCCGAUAAUAACUAGUUUUUUCGUUACAAUUGAGAUGCUAAAGAUAGUUGAUUUUUGCCUGGUGAGUCAGAGAUAGAACCUUUGAUUUUAAACUUUCCAGGCACACCAUUUUACAUGCCACCCAAAUGUGGUACCACUAACAAAAUUAGUGUUGCGUUAGACAUAUGGUCCCUAAGUUGUGUUGUUCUUCAGAUGGUCAUCGUAAAACCACUAGAGGAAUUUCCGAUCAAGAUGGGGAUAUGGUGAUACAAACCAAAAAUAGUACCAAAGCAUGUCAAGUGAAGGGAAAGAUUUCUUGAUGACAUGCUUUGCAAGGAAGGCUAAUGAAAGGUGCAGUGUUGAGAUGUUAUUAAGUCAUCCUUUCCUAAUGGAUUUAAAGCCUACUGUCUAUGGGAAAUAUAAUCUACUGCAAAAACAAAUAUAUUAGCAUUGAUUGGGAAAAAAUAAUUAAAUAUGAAAUAAAAAAUUAUUGUCUCGUGGUAAAUCUAUCGCCUUAGAAACGAGUUCACUUUGAUCGGUGUAAUCGUGUAGUGGACGUCGUCCCCCAAAGUUAACACGAUUCUUCUAUAUUCGUACACCCAAAUAUAGAAUAUGGAACUCAACUGGUGUUGCUCUUCUCGGGAAAUCACAGUAGGAACAAUUUUCAGGAAAGUUUGGAGGGGUCACAAUUAGUCCCGCUUAAAACCCAAACUCUUAGACAGAAUUUUUUCUAAAAGUGAUUUGGGAAAAUUUGAAAAAUUUUAUAAAGAAAUUACGAAUAGAAAGCAAAGGAAAAAUGUUUUCACAAAGAGUUGUGUUUCUGUUGAGUGUGAACAAAGAGGAAAUCAACCAUCUAUUUAUACUAGUAACAAAAGGGCAAAACGGUAAAAAGACAUGGGCAAUUUUGUAAAAAACCCAUAACAAUAUCUCUACUAAAUCUUCAACAGUCCCCCGCUAAAUCCUUAACAAUCAUAAUUUUCUUUGCAUUAUCAACAAUCCCUCACUAGCGCAAAGUGAUUUUAAGAUUUUUUGAAAACACGAGAAAAAAUAGAGUUUUAUUUUACUUAAAAUAUGUGAGAAGAGCAAUAGUGAAAUUAGUUGCUUAAGCACUAGUAUUGAUACGAGCCAAGGAGGUGACACUCAAAGGGUUGUCUUUCCUAGUGGUCCAAUCACUCGAAGCAAGGCACGACAAUUAAAAUCAAAGAUGAAUGCUUUUGUCCAAGACUUUGUUGCGACAAAUUUAAUUCAUCAUGUUCGUGACAUUGAUAAAUAUGGGAAUGCAAUUCACUGGACCAAUCUUGGAAUAGUAAAAGCCCAUAAAUUGGUGGAUUAAUUUUUUAUGUAUCUUAUUAUUAUUAUUAUUUACUUAAUUCUCAUUGGUUGGGACACAUCAUUUAUGAGUUAAGUAAUUUUAUUGGUUAGGUUAUUAUUUAUUUAUUUUCUUAGAUAAUUUUAAAGAGUUUUAUUAGGAUUCAAUUACUCUUUAAAGAGUUUUUAUUAGGAUUCAGUUACUCUUGUAAUUUGCCUAUAAAUAGGCUUGUUUUCUACACAUUGAAAGAAGAAUAAAAAGAAGAGUAUUUGUUUUCUUUCAAAUUUGUGUGAGGCAAAUUUUUUUAGAGUAGAGUGAUUCUUCUCUUGCUAUUUAGUUUGGAGUUUGUUACUUUCGAGGGUAUUUUGGAGUUGCAAAUAUUCAAAUUUCUUUCCCGUUCAUCGGUGUUUCUAGAGGUUCUUCUUCUAGGGGUUUUGUAGGGAGCCGCUCAAUCAUUGGCGUUUUUGGUUACAAGUUAACCAAGGGUUCCAUAAGGCAAAUCUAUCCUUUUUAUUUAUUUAUUUAUUUAUUUAUUAUUUAACUAAUUUUAUUCUCGUUUUAUUUCUAAUUUGUGUUUCUCUUAUGUCUAGAUCCGGGUUCCGCAUCAGUUGGUAUCAGUUUCAGGCCAGUCGGUGUUAUUUUUGAAGCUAAAAUCAAAUCCGAAACGAGUCAAAAUACCAAAAACACUUUUCAUCGGUUUCGUCGAUUUUUUUUUUAAAAAAAGUUUGUGUUUAUUCUCCUCUUAUUCUUUAAAUAAAAGCAAAAAAAAAGAAAAAAACAGCAAAAAAAAAGCAAAAAGCGCAAAAGAAAAAAAGAAAAAAAAAGCAAAAAGCGCAAAAAAAAAAGUUGCCUACCUUUCAUACGUAGGUUUCUUCUUUUCCUAUUAUUGUUAUUAUUUUUAUUUUAUUUUUCCCAAAAUUGAAUUUUUUCCCCCUUCUUUUCUUGACUCAAGUAUAAUUAAAGCUUCAAUUUUUGAAAAUCUUAAGACACCAAACGUUUCCGAUUUUUUGUUUUCCUUUAAAUUGGGUAGAGUUUUCUUAAGUUUUCUUCUUAUUAAAGCUUUUCUUUGACUCUAGAGUUAGGGAUCGUUGCAAGUCUACGUUUUUUUUUCUCUUACGCUUUCUAACACAUUGUUUCUUCUUGUGUUAGUAGAUAUUAAAGGCACGCACAAUUCCUUCAUCCGUGUAGCCUCCUUUACAAAUUGCAUCGUCAAGUUUAUUGGCCUCUUAAAGCAAUUAGGAUCUUCAUUGUUUCUUUGAAGUUUGCACCUCCAUUAUUUGAUCUUGAUUAGUAACCCUCUCCAAACAUAUUUACAAGUUUUGAAUCAUUCAGAGAGUUAUUCUUUUAAGAGCUAACGAGUGAGGUUAUUAUUAUUAUUUUCUUGUUCCUGUUUGUGUGAUUUUUUCACAGAUACCAUGCCGAUCACUAGAUCCCAAACUAGUAAAAAUGAAGAGGAUGAGCAAAAAAGAGAUAACGAUCCUUUGGUCGAGUUGUUACAAAAAGAGAUGAAAAAGUUGCAAACUCAAGUCGAACAUCGCAUGACCCAGAUGAUACAAGAGCAAAGGGAGUAUCUUGAUACAAAACUUACAACUCAAGAGAGAUACAUUGUCGAUAAUUACAAGAAGUUGAACGAAGCCUUUAUAAGCCGAUCAAAUUCGCGCGAUCGAACUUUUAAACGAAGGGAGGACCAUGUUUUUUAUGAUGACUUUGAGUCCGAGUAUGUACCUAGAGAAAGGGUGGAACGAAACAAUGACACCCCCAAACCAAAAUUUCCUUCUUUCUCAGGGAAGAAUGAUCCUGAUGCUUACCUUGAUUGGGAGGAAAAGAUGGAAGCAAUAUUUGCUUGUUACAAUUACUCUGAUGAGAAGAAGGUAACAUACGCUGUCGCUGAGUUCAUUAAUUAUGCACUAACAUGGUGGAAUCAAUUAUGUAAAAGCAGGAUUCUUUAUAGAGAGCAACCUGUUACUACUUGGGUUGAAAUGAAGCGCAUCUUACGAAAACGGUUUGUUCCACCAUACUAUUAUCAAGAACUCCAUCAAAGACUCCAACAUCUUGUUCAAGGAGAUAGAUCUGUGGAUGAUUACUACAAAGAGAUGGAGACUAUUCAGAUUAGAGCCAAUCUUGUUGAAGAGGCUGAGGUAACUAUGGCUAGAUUCCUUGCCGGCCUAAAGCCUGAGAUUGCAAAUCGAGUUGAGUUACAACACUACAUGGAUGUUGAAGAGAUGCUUCAAAUUGCACUCACCAUUGAAAAGCAAUUACGAAAGAAAGGGACACCAAGAGGUGCUAGUUCAGUUUCUAAUCCUGCUUGGAGAGAAAAUUGGCAAAAACAAGAUGAUAGAUUGUGGAAUGGGAGAGAUGCACGGUUCAAGCCAAAUGAGCCUAGAACUUACUCCAAAGAUAGAGGUAUGCCUAGUUCAUUUAAAGGUUCUACUUUUACUAAUCAAGCUCCAUCUUAUUCUUCUACUUCUCCUAGUGCCAUUAAGCAGCCAAAAGAUAUUACCUGCUUCAAAUGCCAAGGAAUGGGUCACUAUGCUCGAGAAUGCCCUAAUAAAAAGUCAUUGGUGAUUCGAGAAGAUGGCGAGGUUGAUUUUGAGUCUGAUAACGAAGAUGAGAUGCCUCUUUUGGAAGAUGCUGAUGAUGUGCAUGCUCAUGAUGAGUAUGAAGAAUACUUGGAGUAUGGUGAGAAAGCACUUGUUGCUCAAAGGGCUUUAAAUGUCCAGUUUAAAGAGGAAGGGCGUGAACAAAGAGAUAACAUUUUCCACACGAGAUGUUUGAUUGGUGGACAACCUAGUUCAUUGAUCAUCGAUAGUGGAAGUUGCACCAAUGUGGUGAGUUCUUCGCUUGUUGAGAAACUUGGCCUACCUUGUGUGAAGCAUCCAAGGCCAUACCGCUUGCAAUGGCUGAAUGAUAGUGGGGAGGUAAAAGUAUCUAAACAAUGCUUAGUUUCAUUUUCCAUUGGUAGAUACUCUGAUAAAGUUUUGUGUGAUAUUGUUCCAAUGCAAUCUGGGCACAUAUUACUUGGACAACCAUGGCAGUUUGAUUGACGAGUAAAUCAUGAUGGUUUCGUUAACCAAUAUACUUUUGUAUUCCUUGGAAAGAAGUUUACUUUGGCUCCACUUCCUCCUCAAGAAGUCUACAAUGAUCAACUCAAACUUGCUAGUGAGAUGGGUAAGGGAAGUAAGGUAAAAUCAUUGAAAAAGGCUAAAAGUAAAGAGGCCCUUAGUGUUAAAAGCCAACUUAAAGGCCCAACAUUGGUGAGUGAUUGCACACACAAGUCACGAGAUGAGAAAGUGAGUUUAUUCGCUAGGUUUUGAGAUAUCAAAUUUGCUCCUUGUACAAAACAAACAUUUGUAAUUAUUAGGUUCAGGGAAAACUUCGUUUUGACUAACCCUAAUACACAUUUGCCUAGUUAUUUUGUUAAUCUUUUACAGGAUUUUGAGGAUGUAUUUCCUUCUAAGAGAAAGAAUAAACUUGAAGCACGAGGAGAUGGACCAUUCCAAGUACUCGAGAAAAUAAAUGACAAUGCUUAUCGCAUUGAUCUUCCUGGUGAGUAUAGUGUUAGUGCUACUUUCAAUGUUUCUGAUCUUUCUCCUUUUGAAUUUGAUGUAGGUUCAGAUUCGAGGACGAAUCUUCUUGAAGAGGGGGAGAAUGAUACGAGCCAAGGAGGUGACACUCAAAGGGUUGUCUUUCCUAGUGGUCCAAUCACUCGAAGCAAGGCACGACAAUUAAAAUCAAAGAUGAAUGCUUUUGUCCAAGACUUUGUUGCGACAAAUUUAAUUCAUCAUGUUCGUGACAUUGAUAAAUAUGUGAAUGCAAUUCACUGGACCAAUCUUGGAAUAGUAAAAGCCCAUAAAUUGGUGGAUUAAUUUUUUAUGUAUCUUAUUAUUAUUAUUUACUUAAUUCUCAUUGGUUGGGACACAUCAUUUAUGAGUUAAGUAAUUUUAUUGGUUAGGUUAUUAUUUAUUUAUUUUCUUAGAUAAUUUUAAAGAGUUUUAUUAGGAUUCAAUUACUCUUUAAAGAGUUUUUAUUAGGAUUCAAUUACUCUUGUAAUUUGCCUAUAAAUAGGCUUGUUUUCUACACAUUGAAAGAAGAAUAAAAAGAAGAGUAUUUGUUUUCUUUCAAAUUUGUGUGAGGAAAAUUUUUUUAGAGUAGAGUGAUUCUUCUCUUGCUAUUUAGUUUGGAGUUUGUUACUUUCGAGGGUAUUUCGGAGUUGCAAAUAUUCAAAUUUCUUUCCCGUUCAUCGGUGUUUCUAGAGGUUCUUCUUCUAGGGGUUUCGUAGGGAGUCGCUCAAUCAUUGGCGUUUUUGGUUACAAGUUAACCAAGGGUUCCAUAGGGCAAAUCUAUCCUUUUUAUUUAUUUAUUUAUUUAUUAUUUAACUAAUUUUAUUCUCGUUUUAUUUCUAAUUUGUGUUUCUCUUGUGUCUAGAUCCGGGAUUCCGCAUCAAGUAUCUUGUGGAUUUGAACUUGUUAAGAUAGGAGUUAACUCAUGACACAACUAAUCUUGGAUCCAAUUAAAGUUCCGCGAUAACUCAAGAAGUUUUAGCCAACAUACUUCUGGAUACUUGUGAGUGCUCUAGAAAAACUGCCCAAAAUGGUUUUCAUAGAAAGUGGCUAGUCAUUUACACUUACGUAGGUGAUUUCAUCAGGCCUAUCUCAAUAUAGACCACUCAUAUUAAGGCUAUGAAAUCAUUAAGAGCUUUCAUUAAGCUCAUCCUCUUAAAUUUAAGUUCGGUGAAUUCAUCAAAUCAAUCUCAAUAGGACCACCCAAACUUUGGGAUAUGAACUCAUUAAAAGUAACAAACUUAACCUCUCAAGUCAGUGAAUUCAUCCAAUUCGUCUCAAUAGGACCACCCAAAAUCUGGGCUAUAAAUUCAUUAAGAGUAAAAACUCAGCCUUAUGCAUGUACAUCAUUCGCCAUAAGGAUAGGUAAAAUGUACACUGUGAGUCUUUUCAUGGUUUCAUUUGACCAUGUUAAACUUAGAAACCCACCAUGAAUUCCACAACCAUUGGGCUUAAGACCCAUCCCUCUCGAUGAAUCAAGAACCAUUUUCCUACUUAACCCUUUGGUUUGUAGAUUAAUUAGGUUCCCUUCAAACCUCACGUACUUCAAAGCGAGUACUCUAUUCUUUAUUAAAUGUCUUACAGAUUCAUGUCUUAUUCGAAUAUGUCUCUUCUUACCAUUGUAAGUUUGACUCCUACAAACACAAAUUGCAGUUUACAAAUCACAUAAUAAAGAUACGGGAGGUACUGGUUUUUCCCAUAUAGGAAUCUCUACAAAUAGAUUUCUGUUUUUCCCAUAAACUCUGACUCCAUCGUAGAGUGAGCAAUACAAGUCUGUUUAGUAGACUUCCACGAAUUGGUUGCUCCACCCAAAAUAAAGACAUACCCAUUUAUAGAGCUUACCUCAUCAUUAUUAGUUACCCCGUUUGCAUCAUAAUAGCCUCAAAGGACUGCAGGGUAGCCAAAAAAUUCAAACUCCCAAGUUAAAGUACCUUUAAGGUAUUUAAGCAAACGUUUUAAAGCAUUUAAAUGCUCAUUGCUCAGAUUAUGGGUAUACCUACUUAGUCUAUUAACCGCAUAAGCAAUGUCCCGUCGAGUGUAGUUCAUCAAGAACAUAAGACUCUAAUAAUCUUUGCAUACUCUAAUUCAAAAAUAUUGUUUUGUCUAUUCUUUAACAGUUGUAUGCUAGAAUCAUAAUGAGUUCUCACAGGAUUACAUCAAAACUAUUAAACCUUUUUAACACUUUCUCUAUAUAGUGAGAUUGGUUUAAUGAAAAUCACUUUUCUAAUUUUGUAACUUUACCAGCUAAUAUCACAUCUACCUCUCCCAAAUCAGUCAUUUCAAAUCUGGUAGAUAAGAAAUUCUUGGUUUUACUAAUAGCUUCUAUAUUAGAACUGAAAAUUAACGUGUCAUCUACAUACAGGCUUAUGAUGACACAAUCAGAUCUAAACAUUUUGGAAUAUACACAUGCAUCUAAACUUUAAUGCCUCAAAAUUUUAAUUUUGGGUAUUGUGAAUGUGUGACACAAAUAUCUGUCUGCUUUAGUGGUUAUGUGUUCUGAGUGUGUUUGGGAGGUCCCAAGUUCAAGCUAGGACUUGGGUAAAUUUUGGUAUUUUUAUGAAUAAUCCCUAUCUUUGGUCAGUAGGCUUUUAAGUAAAAGUUGGCAAAUAAUUAACAGAAUGGGCCUGCUAGUCUGAUGGAUAAGUGGAGUGUUGGUGUGAAGGAGGUCUUCUGUUCGAAUCUUGGCCUGGGUAUUAUUUUUGCUCGUGCGUCUAAGAAAGUUUAAGAUGGACUAAAAAUCUGAGUAGUGGAUUUAGUAGGGAGUUUGAUGGGGAGAAAUAAGGGAUUGGGGUGGUUAUUAAAUAUUUUGUUCAUCUUUUUUUCCCUUUUUUUACUUUCCCCAAAAUCCCUCAACCCUCUUGUCGUUUUUCUCUUCAUUUCUGCCGAAUUUCUGCUCUCUUUCACCCUUCAUCUUCUUGAUUUUUCUUUUCCCACUCUACCUCGUGUCUCUCCACGUCUGUCUGCGAUCGUUCGAUAAGUUUUAGAUAAGUGGUUUGUCUCCGUUUGUUAACCUUAUUCUAAAGUGUUUUAUUUAUGCCAAUUAGAGGAGGAUUCAAUGGCUCGUAAUCACCAAUCGGAGUCUUAGUUUGUGUGGGAAUUACUGUUCAUCAGUUGAAGGUAAGGUUUGUCGCUUAUGGGUUAAAACCUCGAUACGAGUUCGAUUUGGGAUCACGUUAUGUGAGAUUAAAUUAGUGUUAUUUGUUCAAUUAUAGGCUUUUGAUUACUCAGGAACUAUUUAAGCAUCAAACAAAACCAGGUGUGUACCCGAAACGCAAAAAAAAGGGAUUCAACAAAAAGCCGAAAUUGCUUACUGUUUAGACAGCAGCAGUAGGCUAACUUUGAAAAUUAACCAUAAAUUAUGGAAAUCAAAUUAGAGGAUGAACAAAAUAUGGAAUUAAAUAUUAUUGAGUCUAGUUUCUCAUAGAAGAAACGGUGUAAGUAAUGGAAUUUUAAAUCGUGAGGUAUAAUAAACUUUGUGAGACAAGGUAAGAUUGAAUUCGGGUUCCCCUGUUCUGAAUUUGAAAAAUCAUCAAAAAUUGGAUAAAAAUAAUUAGGGGUUAAAAUUUACAUGUUUCAAUUAUUCUAUCUUCAUUAGAAACAAAUGGUAACAUCAUCCAAAUUUUGUAUUAAGAGAUAAUUAAUUUUUAGCACAGAAAGGUCGAAGCUGUCAGACAGCAGAACAUGGGUAAGAUUGAAGAUUUUACUGUACUUAUUGGCUAAACCAAAAAUUUUGAAAAUUUUAUGGUAGAAAGGUAUUUGAGUCUAGUUUCAAAUACAUCAAGCGGACCUUAAUUUGGAAUUCAGUAGCUCAAGAUAUAAAUAAUUUAGUAAUAGUGACUCAAGUAGACAGCUUUGAAAAAAUAUAUAAAUAAAUAGUGAAAACAUAUAUGAAUAUUUAGCUAGCACUGGUUACAUUAAAAAUGGACCACGCAGCCAAGGUCAAUUUGGGCCGAGUGGGCCACAUGGGAGUGUGGGCCCACAUGGGCAGACCACAUGGGCGUAUGAGUCCAUUAUCACUAAAUUGAUUGCUAAGGUUACACGGGUCGCCCAAGUCGACUGUAAACCUACUAUAGGGUCAGUAAGCAUCACUUAGACUCUUAAUUGUAUGAACUGACUAUUUGAUUUAUAUAUGUGUUGAUCAUGAUGAUAGUAUGCUUGUAUACUGAACUGGUUAUAUGUACUGAUGUCCUGAGAUAGCAUGUCAUGACUUGUAUGUUACAUUGCAUGGGGUGGGGUUAAUUAUAUUUGGAGAAAGUGUACUGAAAGGCUCUUAACCCUAACAUACUGGCAGCUCAGCUGCAAAUUACUUUUUUUGCCGCAUUCGAUACUACCUGGAGUGUAGGGAUAGGUGGGUUGAUUUGAUCCCCACAUGGAGUGUAGGGUUGGACGGAGAUGGUAUGUAGAGGCUGGUUGGGUAGGACUUUGUUACUGAAUACUGCAUGACUGCAACUGAUAUUGUGAUCGGCUAAGGCCCUACUGCAUAUUUGAUAUUGUACUAAGAUAAGCUAAGGCCCAAACUGUUACUGAUACUGAAAAAGGGCUUAGGCCUAGGACUGCUUUAACUGUGCACAGUGAUUUGCUAUUGUUUGUUUUCUGUGGGAUUAUAUACUGGGUUUUCGUAAACUCACCCCUUUUGUUUAAAUGUGCACAGGUAAUCCCUAGAUUUAAACGGAUCGGUACGGCGGAGGACUCGACGGUGACCACGGUUUUGGACUUUCAUGGUUUUUAACCCGUAUUUUCGAUAAUUGGUUUUAUUUCUAUUCUAUUUUUACUGGCUAAGUUUUUGGGUUGUAAUUGGACUUUCAGACUUUGGUUUUGGGUUUUAAUUAUCUUUAUUUUAUGGAUUACAAUUGCUAGUAGUAGGAAAUCUCAGUUUUCAAAAGAAAUAAAUGUUUUUCCUAAACGCACAAUUGUUUAAUCUGUUUUAAAAGCUUCCGCAAACGAAUAACGUUUUGAAACUAUCGAUUAAAUGAGCAACACAAUUUUGGAACUAAUAAGAUAUUAAGAUAAGGAAUUCAAUGGAAAUGGUUUUAACGCGACGACACGGUUUUCAAACAUCCUAUCAUGUGACAUCACUAGAUCCGACCAUAACGUCUAGGCCGAGUUUGGGGUGUUACAUAAACCAUUAACUAUAAAACCAAAACUGAGAAUGGUCUUAUUAUAUUUAUUGUACCAUUUUUUUGGAGCUUGUUUGGGACAGUACGGAGAUUUUUUUGAGUCUGCAAACUUUAUCUUCUAUACCAGGUGCCACAAGUCCUAGAGGUUGCUCCAUAUAUAUCUCUUCAUCCAAGUCACCAUUCAAGAAAGUUAUCUUUACAUCCAUCUGGUGUACUAGCAGAUUAUGAAUGGAAUCUAAUGCAAACAACACACAAAUGGUAGAGAUUUUAGUUACAGGAGAGUAAGUAUCAAAAUAAUCUACUCCAAAUUUCUGAGUAAACCCUUUAACCACUAGUCUUGCCUUAUACUUUUGUAUUGACCUAUCUAGUCUAAGUUUCUUUCUAAAUACCUAUUUAUUACUAAUAGGUUUAAAACCUUUAGGAAAGUGUACUAAUUCACAAGUGUUAUUAGACAUAAUAAAUUCAAGCUCAUUAUUAAUAGCAUCUCUCCAAAAACUAGCAUCUAUAGAAUUUAUGGCUUCAUCAUAAGUUUUUGGAUCCUCAUCUAUCAAAAAAGAAUGAGCGAUAGAAUCAUUUAUUAAGUCUAAAUCAUUAACCUCAGUUAUAAAAGAAGUAAGAAAAUCAUGUCUGAAACUAGUGGCAGUCCUUUGUCUUUUACUUAUCCUAGGUUCCACAUCAUCAUUAAGAAUAUCUCUAUUAUGUGUACUAGAAGAAAAAACAUGCUCAUCUAAUUGUAUAUCAUGAUUUACAUCAAAUUUCUUUAAAGGAACAAUAUUUCCAAAGAAGAAAGCAUCUCUAGAUUCACAUAUGGAAUAAUCAUGCAAAGACAUAAAUCUAUGUGGAGCACUGUUCAAAGCAUAACCAACAAAAAAUAACAUCAAUAGUUUUAGACCCAAUAGUGUUCUGUUUAGAAAUAGGUAUGCCUACUUUUGCUAGGCACCCCCACGCUUUCAAGUAUUGUUUUAUUAAGGGCAUAACCUUUCACAAUUCGUAUGGGGUACAAUCUAAUUUUUUAUGAGGCACUCUAUUAAGGAUGUGAUUCGCAGAGAGUACGACCUCCACCCACAUGUGAUCAGGUAAACCAGAACUAAGUAGUAAAUUAUUCAUCAUUUCUUUUAGAUUUUUGUUUUUCAUUUCAGCUAUGUCAAUUUGUUGUAGAAAAUAGGGAGCUCAAAAUUCAUAUAUAAUUUCAUCUUUCUCACAAGCCUCUUUAAGGCAGUUAGUGUCAUACUCGCCCCCUCUUUAUAGAAUUUUCUCUAAAAGUAAUUUGGGAAAAAUCGACAAAUUUUAUAAAGAAAUCGCGAAUAGAAAGCAAAAGAGAAAAAUGUUUUUCAGAGAAGGUUGUGUAUCUGUUGGGUGCGAAAAAAGAGAAAAUUAACCAUCUAUUUAAACUAGUAACAGAAUGACAAAACGGUAAAAAAAAAAAAAAGAGCAAUUUUGUAAAAAACCCAUAAUAAUAUUUCCAACAAUAUCUCAUAAUUGUUUUCUUCCGUUCAUGGAACAACUUGAAGAAAUGAUUCCAAGGUUUCUAUCCAAAAAAUAAUAAUAGAGAUAUAGAGAAGGGUGGCAUGCUUUAUGAUGAAUUAAAAUAAGGCAUAGUAUUUGUUUAAUGGUUGAUUGGAGUAUAAACUAAUCGCAUGCUUCUUAGUUAUAGAUUAAUUAUAAUUGGUAAUUUUUAUUCACUUACAUAAUUUGUUUGUGGCAAAAAAAUGAAAAUUUUUUGUUUGUUUUGAAAAGGUUUAUUUUUAUACGAAUUUUUACCCAUAUUUCUAACUACAUGUUUAAAUUUGAACUAAAUAUUUUUUAUUUUAUGUACUUCUAUUUUAAAAAAUAUGUGGUAAAUAUUUUUUUUCAGGUGUCUAUUAUUAAUACAUGAAAUUCUGAAAUAUAAAACUCCCAUUACAUUAUUCAGAUCAAGAUUCUCCAUUGAAUGCUUAGACCACUUUAACUUUCAACUGGUAGACAAAGGGAAUGGAAAUAGAGUAUUACAUGAAAACUAGUGAACUAAUAUCAUAUAGGAGUAGGACAGAAAGUAAGAAGUGAUUUCAAUAGCCAUUUUAUACCCAUUAAUUAAUAUCAGAGAAUUAGUUGUCUAAUUCCUUCCAGGAAUGGGUGGAAAAGGGAGCCCUGGAAGGGGUGGCAGA
Molecule: long non-coding RNA, 46648 nt
Filed under: Gossypium barbadense (sea-island cotton)
Lineage: Eukaryota; Viridiplantae; Streptophyta; Magnoliopsida; Malvales; Malvaceae
Description: long non-coding RNA (GBAR_LNC018081)
Rfam family: Histone 3' UTR stem-loop (bases 2911-2955)
Source: RNAcentral